This 78670-nucleotide long non-coding RNA is filed under the name Solanum tuberosum (potato). RNAcentral describes it as "long non-coding RNA (STUB_LNC010607)". The record is from RNAcentral. Lineage: Eukaryota; Viridiplantae; Streptophyta; Magnoliopsida; Solanales; Solanaceae.
UUUUUUUUUCUUUUUGUAAGUUAUCAAAUUUCCUCUCUUUAAAAUGCUUCUAAUUUUAGUGUCGUAUUUAAAAAUGCACUUCGGCAUACAAAUAAACAGUAACAUCAAGUACAUAAUGUUGGUUUUAGAAUGUAGCAAAAAAUUAUCAUGAUAAAAAUUCAAAAGAACUAACCAUAAUUUAACCUAAUUAAUUAUGUAUGUACAAGUAUAGUCAUAUAAAAGAAAAGGAAAGAAAAAUAUUUAUAUUUUAAGUUCUUCAAUAAAGUACAUAAAUGAAAUAUAGAGAAUAGGAAAGAAAAACUAAAAANNNNNNNNNNNNNNNNNNNNNNNNNNNNNNNNNNNNNNNNNNNNNNNNNNNNNNNNNNNNNNNNNNNNNNNNNNNNNNNNNNNNNNNNNNNNNNNNNNNNNNNNNNNNNNNNNNNNNNNNNNNNNNNNNNNNNNNNNNNNNNNNNNNNNNNNNNNNNNNNNNNNNNNNNNNNUUGUUAGUUACUCCAUGAUUUUAUUUGGAUUGAGUUUAUUCAAUUUAGUUUCAAAGAUUAGUUAAAUUGACUACACAAAAUAAAUAAUAUCACAUAAAUUAUUAAAGUAAAAAAUAUAAUUUAAAAAUUAAACAAAGCAUUUUUACCCAUAGAUUCUUUACAACUUUGGUGAAAGCAACCAUAUGAUGUGAUGAUUAGCAUUUCUUCCUCACCAUAUUGUAUGUUAUGGUAGAAGUGAAAGAAUAACUUUGAAUGAAAUUUUUCUUGCUACCAAAGAUGAAUUUAUAUAGAAAAAGAGGAGGAAUACCAUAAGGUGUCAUAAACUAAUAAAUUUAAUUUUGGGGGUUAUGAAAAUUAAAAAAGGAGUUAUGAAUAUUAUUAAGAUUAUAAGUUGAAGAGGUGUAAGUUAUUGAUAGUUAUUUCUUAUUUUAUUAAAGAUGUAAAAUAUAUAUUAUAGUGGUAGGUGAAAAGUUGAGUAAUUGAAUGUGAAGACUUUUUGAGAUAUUAAAAAUAAAAUAAUUAAAUAAUGAAGGAAAAAAUGGUAAAAAAAAAAAGAGAAAAAAGACAAAUAUAAAUGGAGGCCAUAGAGAGGUGCCACAUCACCUUCUCUACGUUUCUCCUUUAUAUAUAUAGACUAGGGAAUUUGGCCGCGCUUCGCACAGUUAUUAAAAAUAUAUAUAAAUUUAAUUUAGAAAUUAAUUAUGAUACAAGAAAUAAAAAACCAACUAUAGAAAUAAGAAAAUGAUAAAAUCACAAUACAAAUAAUUUUUUGUUAGAAUUAGAGCUUAAGUGAAUUACAUUUUUAUUAUAAAAUAUUUUCAAAAUUAAAAGGCUAAUUUAUUAAGAAAAAAAUCAUAUAUUAUGAUGUUAAUACAUAUAAUUCGAAUAAACAUAUUUAAGGACUUGAUUUUUUUCUCGUUUUUAUUAAAUAUUAAAUUUACUAUCUGAUGAAUCUUCUUUUUAUUUGAAAAAAAAUGAUGAAACUAAAAGUAGGAGGAAAAAUAGAUAAGUAUUUCAAUUUAAUUUCUUAUUUGAUACUUAAUCCUUUCAUUUGUCUUGUUUUUUCUCUUAUUUUUCAUCAUCGUCUAAAUAAAUAUUUUUCUCGUAUUUUCCAUAAUCAUCAUCUAAAUAAACCUCUAUUGCUAAUUUUUGUGUAUAUCUUAUAUUAUUCUUUUGGUAAUUCUUUUAAAGUAGAAGAAAUGAACAAAUUUAGAGAAAAUGUAAAUGGUUCUUCACCAUGAGAAAUACCUAAGAACUAUGUAUUUCAAUAUUUAAUAUACAUUUCGUUUGAGCCAUGCGUAGUAAAAUUUGAACAUCGGUUAGCGUAGUUAGCUAUUUCUGGCAAAGUUACAAAUAACUAAUUUGAGCCUAAGCGAAAAUGUAAUUUACUACAAUUAAAAAAAUUAUAAGAACCUAAAUUUAAAUUUUUUUAUCAAGAUAACACUUUUUUGUUAAGUUCGUAAUCACAAAAACAAAGAUGAAAAAAAGUUACAUAAUCAAUGCACAUAUUUUUGAGUUUUUAUCCGGCUCCCCUUCUAUCCACAUCCAAGAGACUUUUUAUGGAGUCAAACUAAAGUAUAAAUCUGAUAUUACAAUAAUAAUAAUAUAAAAUAUCACUAUUUCAAAUAUGAAAUAAAAAAUAAUAAAUCUUGAGUAGGAAUCUUAUGAAACAAAAAAUAUGAAUUUAUAUUGACAAAACUAAAGUAAUAUCAUAAGGUAUCUUACAUUUUGAAAUUAAAUAAUGGCGGUUAUGAUAUGAAAAUUUAAAGAAAAUGAGUUAAUAAUAUUAUUUGAACCAAAAAAACCUGUGCUCAAAAUAUUUUGAUUUUCGAGCACAGGUUUGUCGGUAAAAAAAGUAAAAUUUCAAUAGGUAUAAGUUAUAAAGAUAAUUUUUUUAAUAUAAACAAAAGAAGGAAAAAUAAAAUAAUGAAGACCAAAAAAAAAACUCAUGAACUAUCCAAUAUUUGUUGGGUGUCUAAGUUUUAUUAGGAAAGAAAGCAAAUCAGCUUCGUCUUUUUUGUAUUACUCCAUUGUGUUUAACAAAAUUGAAAGAGGAAAAAAAAUAACAACAAAAAAGAGACAAAUAUCUUGAAAGAUUGAAGUAGUAAAUAUUGAGACUUUUAAUUAUUUGUAAUAAAGAAUAAUAAUGAGUGUAAAUAAUUUUUGAGACUUUUAAGUAUAACAAUAAAUAGAGGAGUAGUAAUUGGUAUAUUUAUUUUUUGUACAAUAAUAAGUAAGUAGAAAAAUAUGAAAAAUUGUCAAAAAAAAAAUUAAAGAAAAAGAUAAAUAGAAUCCUUGGGCCUUGACCAAAGAGAGGUGCAACUUCACUUUUCUAAAAUCUAGCUUAUAUUAUAUAUAGAUUUUUAAGCACAACAGUAUCUAAUACCUAUGGGAAAUGUACUGUAGAUAAGAUACCUUUCAACCAUGGCAAAAUUUUAGAAUAUUGAAAUAAAAAUAAUACAUUAAUUGAAAAAAUUGUCAAAAAAUUGAGGAACAGAAUAAAUAGAAUCCUUUGCCAAAGAGAGGUGCAACUUGAAUUUUCUAACAUUUAGCUUAUAUUAUAUAUAGAUUUUUAAGCACAACAAUAUCUAAUAGCUAUGAGAAAUGUACCAUAAAUAAUAUACCUUUCAACCAUGGCAAAAAUUUAGAAUAUUGAAAUCAAAAUAAUACAUUAAUGAAUCUUUAAAAUAUUGAAAACAUUCAAUCUUUAUACUUUUAUGACUAUCUCUCUUGAUUAAUCUUUCAACAUUAUUAAGCCUCCUUCUUCAUUUCGAUGAACUUGUACUAAACCAAUGUGAACAUCUCUUUGUAAUGAAUCUUUGAAGAAUAUAUCUUUGAUCUUCAUCAAAGUGAAACACAUAUCAUGUCACUAUCGUUUCUAUAACUUCUUAUGGAAAAGAUGAAGAAGAAUAAAAAAUAAAAAUAAAAAGAGAAAAAGAACUACACUAAUAAUGAGAAAAUGAAAAAUGAAUAUUCAACAUCUCCAUGAAUGAUUGUUAUUUAUAGAUUUGAUAAUCCAUAAGAAUAGUUAGAAAGGAGUUGAAUAGUCAUGUUGUUUAAGUAGAGAAUAUGAAUAGAUAGUGAUUUUUUUGUAACUCAUUAGAUAUAAUUAGAAUAGUAAAUAUGAUUGAAUUUUUUAUUUAAUAAAGAAAAUAUUUAAUGAAAAGAAUUUAAAAAAAUAUAUAAAUAUAAAUGGAGGUCAUAGAAAGGUGUCACAUCACCUUAUUUAUGUUUCUCCUUUAUAUUAAUUAUAUAGAAGAGUGAAGCCAACCAGGACGACCAAGGGCAAAAUAGUAAAUUUUUAACCUGACAAAUACACACUCUCCAUCAUUCUAGAACACUCACCUUCCUCAUUAGCACAAAGUAGACGCAAGAUUUUCAAUACAAGAAUCAGUUCUUCCAUUUCUCUUGCUCCAACUCCAACAACAACGAAUUCCAGGUAUGUUCUGCUGUCAAUUUUGCAACAAAUUUCUUCCAGUUCUUUUUGAACUUUUAAAUUUUACCACUAAAAUAUAGGUUUGACAUCGUUAUUAUUAUGUCUAAUUCUCUCCCCCAAUUUUAUAAUUGAUGUAAAGAUUUAUGUUGUCCUCACACAUAUAAGCAAUUUUAUUUUAUAUAGUUGCAGAUUUAUGGAUUUUUAUUUCAAAAUUUGUUUUCCCUUUGUUCUUGGUUAUUGAAAUUUAGUGUUUCUUUUUCAAUUUAUUAAUUGCAGGUGUGAACAUUUUCAUUUACUUGAGAAGGGAAGUUGACAAAGCUUCAUACCCAAAAACCAAUAUUAACUCCUCAGAGAAACGAUUAUACUACAGAUACACCUAGCUUAAUUUGGGGGCCUAGCUUAAUUUGGGGAGUUCUUAUAGGAAUGUGGUAUCUUUUCGGGAAUUCAGUUUUGUGUACUUGAAGAUUCUUCUUUUUUGUUGUUAGAAGUGCAAAGGGAAGGGCAGAUUCAAUAAAGUAAAGGGGUCCAACUUCCUUAUUGUGUCCAUUUUGAUUACAAUAAUCAGAUAGAAUAUAAUCUCAUUCAUUCUGGAAAUUGUGAAUUUUGAGAUUAUUUUUUGUUGGAGAUAAAUAGAUGUGAUUGGUCCAAAAGGGCGGGUCACAGACGGAUUUCUCGGUUAACAAAAAAAAAUUAAGCUAUACUUUUAAUAUAUGAAAGUAUGCAAUUAACUUUGUAUAUGAUCCUUUCUAAUUUUGAGACUUCUUUUAGUCAAGGGAUGUUUUGUUACUUCCAUAAAGAUAUUGAGAGAUAGUACUAAUACUAACACAUAGGAACGUAAGAAAUUAUAUUACCGUUUCCGACAAAUUUCAGAAGGUGGUUUCUAUAAUUCUCUUGAUUCUUCCGUAACAACUAUAGUAGGAUUUUGGUUUGCAAACUUUGUUUAUGUAGUACUCAAUCUUACUUUUAACAAUCUGUAACUUCACUCUGGACUGAAAACUUCGAACUUCAAUAAUAUUGAGGAAGCUAAAGUAGCAAAGAUGGUUGGCUAUUAUAUAAUAAAUAAAGGACAAGACGAAAUAUCAAUAAGAAUAUGCUGUGAGUUCUAUACUAGAGAGAGUAAGAAAGAAGUAUCAAAUAAAUGCAACCUGUGAAACCAAACCAAAAUCCAACUUGAGGAGAGUCAUUCUUUGAUCAGAGAAAGAUGUCUUCGAGAAGGGAAAACACAAUGCAAUAGCAGGAUGUUUUCCUUGAACGUCUGGUUUCCAUAUGUUCUCUUCCUUAUCCCCAAAAGAGCAUACUUGAUGAGGUUUCCCAGAUCGAGAACUUUGAAGGAAGCUUCUUAGCACUUAUCUUAGCUUGGAACAAUUUUCCCUUUCUGUUCUGAAAUCUCUUUCCCGGGAAAGUUACUUCUUCGUGAAAGAGGAAAUUCCCCAGGAGCAUAUCUUCUGGUGGCACUUUGGCAUAUAAGUUGUAUUUCAUUCAAGUAGAAACUAAUGCACUCUUAAAAAUAUGAUACUUGGUGACUCAUCAACCAGGAAAAAGAUAAAAGUAUAAUACGUAGUGAUGCUUGAAAAAAUAUCAAGAAAUUCUUUCAUUUCUGUCGUCUCAAAUAUGUGGGAUAAAUUGUGCCGGUGAAUGAAAAAGAAAGACCUGUACCUCUCUCAUAAUAGGUACUCAGGAGGCUGAGUUGUGUUUGUGUGUGUUUCCUGAUGAGCUUCAUGUUCGAUGUGGUUCCCAUUUGUCACAUUGGAGCUUAAUUUUUGUUUUCAUUGAUAAUAGAUGACAAUAUGACAAUACUAAUGGCAUUUCAGACACCAGAAGUUGAGGUCAUAGGCUUGGCUACUAUCUUUGGCAACGUUACUACAAAAGAUGCUACACGAAAUGCAUUACUCUUGGUAUGUUUUUUAUUUUAAUUUUAUUUAUCUAAACUUCUCUCUUUUCAUCGUGCUUAAAAUUUCCAUCUUCUAGAUAUUUAUGGAUCAAGUUCUUGAUCAAUUACUUCUUUUAACUUAAUUUGCAAAAUGAUAGUGUGAAGCUGCAGGAUAUCUGGAUGUUCCCAUGGUAGAGGGUAGCUCUGAACCUCUGAAGGUAAUUUUGUUUUUAUUUUUACUGUAUAUUCCUUCUAAUAGUAACAUUUUUUUCUCUUUGCAAUCUCACAUACUGUAUAUUCCAAAGAGACAAGUAAUUACUGCAGCAUCACUUGAACAUACGUAACAUGAAGCUAAUUUUUAAGUUUUUCUACCGUGUAGAUAGAUAUUAGAAUAGAUUAAAGAGGAAAAACGAUGGUUGGUUUUACACACAAAAAAAGUUCAGCUCAUGCUUACUUUCCUUUCUCCCUUGUAGCUUCUCAACACACUGUCACCUAACCUAACUCUUGUUUCUUGCUAUAGAGAGGGGAACCACGUGUUGUAGACUUUGUUCAUGGUUCAGUUGGAUUAGGCAACUUAUUUUUACCUUCUCCAAAUUCAAAAAAAUUGACAAGUCUGCAUCUGAAUUCUUGGUGGAAAAAGUUUCUGAAUAUCCUGGUGAAAUGUCUAUACUUGCAUUAACACCAUUGACAAACUUGGCUUUGGUAUGUCGUAUCAUAAAACUUUUGAUUUUUAAGUUUCCAAUUUUUCCAUUGCAAUAACAAAAGUUUCAUUGUUAUCUGUUGGUUAGGCUGUCAAGAGGGACUCAACCUUUGCAAGCAAGGUGAAGAGAAUAGUUGUACUUGGUGAUUCCUUCUUUGCUUUAGGAAAUGUUAAUCCUGCCGCAGAAGCAAAUGUGGGUGAUUUCUUUCCCAAUGGGGUAUAUAAAUACUAUAAUAUUUACAAUGUUUUACAAUUCCUUUUUUAAACUUGCGUUGAUAUGCUUUUUUGAGCCACUGGUCUAUCGUACACAAUCUUUCUACUUCAAAAAGGUAGAGGUAAGGUCUGCAUGCACACCACCCUUCCCAGGCCCCAUUUGUGAGAUUACAUUUGGCAUGUUGUUGUUGUUGUUGUUGUUGUUGUUGUUGUUGUUGUUGUUGUUGUUGUUGUUGUUGUUGUUGUUGUUGUUGUUGUUGUUGUUGUUGUUGUUGUUGUUGUUGUUGUUGUUGUUGUUGUUGUUGUUGUUGUUGUUGUUGUUGUUGUUGUUGUUGUUGUUGUUGUUGUUGUUGUUGUUGUUGUUGUUGUUGUUGUUGUUGUUGUUGUUGUUGUUGUUGUUGUUGUUGUUGUUGUAAUGUCUUACAAUGUGCAAAGCUGAAGAAACAGUCUUUGUUGUAUUCACUUAUCCAAUUUGUUACUAUUUACUCAUUUGCUUAGUUUGCUGACAAAGCAGAUAUAUGGGGACCCUGAGGCUGCUGAUGUUGUGUUUACGUAGGGGGAGAAUAUUGAUGUUGUAGGCAUCAACAUUACAACACAAGUCAAAUUGAAAGGUGAAUGUUCACUGCUUAAAUAUGUUGAAUGCUUCUAUAUUUUGGACCUUUAAUAAUUUUGUUCACCUCUAAAAUAAGAGUAUGCUUCCCUGCUUUUAGAUGCUGAUCUUGAAGAACUAAAGCAAUCCGAAGGAAAACACGCUAAGUUUGUGUGUGAUAUGUGCAAAUUUUACCGUGAUUGGCACGUGAAAUUCAGUUGGUGUCUAUGGUAAUAUAUAUGUUCUUAUAUUGUUUUUGGAUGUCUGACAAUGCUUCUUAAACCACUUUCUUGCAUUUAUCUCGUGAUCAUCUCUUAUCAAUUGGCGAUCAAACUCUUCAAAAAAGUAUGCUACUAUGUGUUUGAUGUAUAAAUUGUUGGUUUUUUUGUCGAAUAUUCUUUUUUUCUUUUUAUGGGUAUGGUGAUUUGUUAUAUGAUCACAUUUUCUUUUCUCCAUUCCAAAUGAUCAUGGAGUUCUACUUCACAUGAAAAUGUGGAAAACAGAGUGGACAUCAACACACCUCUAGAGGAUGAAGAACGUAUCAUCGAAUGCGAGAAGGUCCCAAGUUGCCGUGUCGGAUGGAGGAUCAUGGCAUGCCCCUUGGCAGCUUAGGUAAUGAUUUUGAAAAAAUCUUGUUUACACUUCUGUGAAUACUUCAAAAUUUGUUAACUCAUGAGAUGCUAUCGGGAUAUUGGGAUAGAUAACUAUGAACAAGAGUCAGCUUUUUGUAUCUAUUCCAGUCAAAUUUUAAAAUUUAUCACAAAUUUAGUCAUUGCAAGAAGUGGAUUAUAACAUUGUAAGUCAUACUAUUCUCGCUUCGGAGAAAUGCUUAAGCAUUACAUUAUUGGCUAUAUUUUCAACAGAAACUUUAUUAGUAACAGGUAGGUAUUUCUGAUUUCGGGUUGUUUCCCUCUUCCUGCUCGAAUUCAAUAAAUCAUAUUUUCCACGCCACUUGUCAGUAAAGUCGAUUCUUCUUUAGUGUAACUGAAUAACUUUUGAUUAGUUAUUUUCUGUUAAUGUUUAUCAUGGCUGAAAUAGGAAAAAAAACUUAUCUUCUUAAGCAUUCAUGUGUUUUAGUAACUAAGUUGGUAACAUUGUACUAUCUAAAGAUGAAAUCAGUUUCAACUUUGGAUAUAUCUUGUUGCCUCUUUAACAACAAAGACCCAUUGUAUCUACAUUAAAGAAAAAUUUAUUUCAUCAUGAAAGUUUCUCUGUGACAGCCUUUUAUAUUAGUCGACAUAGCUAAUGGAGAACAUUACAAAUAAAGAAGUCGUUGUAAAUAUAGCAAACUUGAUGUCAUUUAAUGAUGUCUUAAUCUGUUAUUGCAAUGAUUAUUAUUUUGCUCUCUGAAACAGUUAUGCUACAAUACUUAGUUAUUUACAAUUUGACAUUUUGUUAAUUCGUUUAUUAAUGGCUGAAAUGAUUACCGACUCUCUUUCAGCUGCCAACUAUAUGGCUAUCUCCAAGCUUUGCAGACAUCACCAUCAGUUGUUGCUGCUGGAUUGGUUGUUGAUUAUCUUAUUAUAUCGCCAGCAACACAACUGUGAGAUUAAUUGAUACGUGGUAUGCAAGGCUGCCAUGACUCCAACUCCGCCAUUUGGACUCAUACGGACGAUUCAAGGUAAGUAAUCUAAUCCAUUAGUUAUGGUAUGUUACAUGCUAUUUCUAACACAUUAAACCUAUUUCUAGAAAUAUCAGCUCUCUCAUCCCUUUCCCCCUUUUAGUUCUCCAUACACACACUCUCUAUUUCAAUGAGUAUUGUUGCAGUUGUACGAAAAGUAAAGAUCAAAUUUAGUAGUUAGAAAUAAUGAAUCUUUCCCUCCCUGUAUGUAUAAAAUCUCCAUUUCACCUUUAUUUUCUAGAUUUCUCCUUCUUAUAUCAAUAACAAUAAUUUUCCGAUUUUCUCAGUGUUUGCUGUUUAGAAAAUUGUUGCAGAAACUAUAUUUUUAGUUCUCAGAUAAAGCCGUAAAAGUUAUUGGAAAGAUUAGGCAACGGUUGGCCUAAAUAAAGUUACUAAUUCUACUGUUCUACUACAAGGACAUAUUAGUUGUCAUGAUUAUUGGUAAGUACUAUUUGGACACAAAUUUUUCUCAAAUCUCACACAUUAAGGAGCACAUGCCUUUCAAUUAACCACAUCCUUUCAAUAACCUUUAUUUUUAACAAAAGCCUGCAGUGAAUUAACUACAAAUUGCCCUCAUCCUAGAAUAACCAUAUUCAAACUUAAUCAUCAUAUAACUGUUGUUGAGGAUAAUUGUAAAAUUCUCUUUUUACUCCUUUUUCCAUAAGGUAACUCAUACUUGAUUAAGUGCCCGUUAAAAUUCUCUUUUAUUCCUUUAUCUAUAAGGUAAGUCAUACUUGAUUAAGUGCCCAUUUAGAAUGACUUGUUUUAGGUGUUUUAAAGCAAAAUGCUUAUAAGAACUUAUUUCUAAGUCAAAAUAACAAAAUUAAGCCAAAGUCAAUCCAAACAGGCUUUAUAUCUUCUUUGUUUUACCCCUCCAUAGUUCCCUAAUCCUUUUUGCUCUUUCAUUAUAGGAUAGAUACUAGAGCUACAAAUUCUUUAAACUCACCGGUUUAAAGAAAAAAGUAGUUUAAUUUGAGAAGAAAUGAAACUACGUAGCACAAGAAAAAUGGAAAAGCUGUAUGUCUGCUCAUUACAAUGAUCUCGGAGAUAAUGAUACUUUAUGCCCAAUUAGUUCUUGGAUGAUCUGCAGAAUAUCCUUAUAUGUGAGGGAAAGAACAUGCAGAAAAUUAUCUUACACAAAUUAGUUUCCUAAUAAGUAUUGAGUUUAGCAUUUGACAGAUUUUACUAAAUGAAUUUUAUAAACUAAUACUCUUCUUAUAAUAAGUGUAUCUAACCAAAGACAAGAUAGUUGUCAACAAGUAGAAGCGUGGUUGUGGAAAUUUGAAGGGGAGAAGAAAAACUUCUUAGAACAAUAUAAAAGUGCUCUUCUAGGCUACAACAAUUAUAUUUAUAAAAAGAAAAAUUCAUAGUGUCCCCUACUUUUCAUAACAUGUGUUAUUUUAGAUGGAUAUCACUUUCAAUUUUUUUGGUAUAAUGUGCUUCAUUAGUUCUUUUCAAUUUCUCAUUGUGGUUUUUCUUUAGCGUAAUAUACAUGCUUAACCUGCCUUGAGUAGAAGAAAGAGUUGUACUAUAAAGUCCAGUGGUUUCAUUAAAUAUCAUUGAACUUUAAUAGAUCAUUGAUGAAAACAUAGGAGGUGAUUUCAAUUGUUGUAGUAGGAAUGUUAAUCUUUGUGAUGAAAUUUAAUAAACUACAACUGAAAGUUCUCAAGAGAAGUACAAUAAAAAACUUUCUUUUUCAUUGUUUCGGCCAACUACAUUUACUAUUGAUGUUGGAUAGCUUUUAUUAUUUACAAUUUGUAGUAUCAAGUUCAGAGCACCUUACUUGAAGUAGGAUUAUAGUGUUGAGUUUGGAGUACCUUUUUAUUGUAAUUUGAUUUUUUUUUAUCUUUUCAAGUACACAGAAAGUGUAUAUUGACACCUCCUUUUCUAUGAUGUUUUCUUAAAAUAGAUAAAGUAUUGUGUAUUAUAAUCGCAAAACUAAAACCUCAUAUUGUUCAACUGCCACAAUUGUUUCAAUUGGCCAAGUUUGAGAUCUACUGAUUUUAUAGCAACAAAUUUGUGAUAUGCAUACUGCAAGUCCAACAAACUGUUGGAGUUGAACUGUGAUGUUAAAUUAAAGAUGUGUAUAAUGUAUUAAAAUACUAUCUGAAUUUUGAGGUAUUAAACAUGUUAGGUAGAAUGUUGAAUUUAGAGAGGUAUCCUAUGUAGAAACAAUCAUUGUCUAUUAAUCACAAUAAAGGACUAACUAUUUGUUGUUUUCUUCUUUUAAUUUCAUUUAGCUUGAUAUUUUUGUUGCAGGAUGGUUAACAUUGUUUUUAUUUCAUUGAAUUGCAAUGUGUGCAACUACACCUAUCUGAAAUGACUCCAUACAAAUACAGAGGAGCACUCAACGUUGAUUUCAACUGUCUGUCACAACUAUGCACCAGUGUUGCUUAAGACUAUUGGUUUUGUUGUUGAUAGUUCAGUCAUGUCUGCUGUGACCACAUACCACUGGUGGAGUCAAUGUCAUUGCCGCUGUGGUUUCUAUUUACUAUGUUGAUAAAUUGGGAAUGAGACUCUUGUUUCUUGAAGGGGGAGUUCAAAUGCUCUUUUGCCAAGUAAGUUCAUUUCAUCUUCUUGGACUUUUUCAUGGUGAAAUUUUCAUAUGUGCUAUUACAUGACCCGUUUUAUUUGACAUAUCAUAAGAAAGAAUUCUACUUAAAAUGAUUCUAUUUCAUCGUAGUUAGCCAAACAUAUUAUGAUCCAUAAGAAUAACUGAAAUCUUGAUACUAUGUAUAUAGUUGAGUAAAAACUAUGAGGUAUUUUCAGGACACCAUUAAUUUGUGUCUGAAAUACCAACAUUGAUUGAUGAAUCGAACCUAGAAAUCUCAAGCUCAAGUUGAUGUGGAAUUUACGGCAAAUAAAUAAAUAAAUAGAAGAAGCAAGUUAUGUUACAAUUGUUGUUUGGUUAAAGGUUGUACCUUUACCUUCUAUAUUUGUACUCAUCUUGAUCAAAUACUACUUUAUUAACUCAAUUAACUUAUCCAAACUCAUAAAAAGAAGGAAUUUUAGCUUAGAACUAAAUUAUAAGAACUGAAUAUGAAAGAAGAGAAGCUUGGUAGAGCUUGCUCCAAUCCAGUUUCAGAGAUGCAGGAGUCCAAGGCAACUGUCGGGCCAUUUGAGUGCAUACAAGAUGCAUUGGACAAGAUGCCAUUUGAGUGCAUACAAACUAAUACGGGUGGAACAACACUUUUGAAGUACUACUGUUGAAUUUAUUCAGGCUAAUAGGCUUUUUUUGUUUCAGGUUUGAAUGAUGAAUGAUAGACACAAGUGAUAAAUCUAUUCAUUUUUCUAGGAGCAAAAUGUAGAGAAAACACAUUGUUUGUGCUCCUUUUUUUUUUGGUGAAUUUCAAAGUUAAUUUUCACUUAGAUGUAUACAAAUGGUAGUGAUGGGGCUACUGGUUCUUACCUAUGAAGCUAUGGUUGCAAUGAAUUUUAUGGGAAGAGUUAGGCACGUGUAAUUUUGAACAUUGGUGCCUUAUCUUAAAAAGAAUGCAUGUGAUUUUAUAUGUUUUUUAUGUGUGAUUUUAGACAUCUAUCAUAGCAAACAUACAAGGAACUAAAAGUCAAGUCCUGACCAUUUGAGGAAUGAAUGACAGUACCAUUGUUGGUGCAAAAUAUUAAUAUUACUUGGCUAAAAAUGUUGGGCCCGUGCUUAGCACGGGCGACACUCAUCUAGUAUUAUAUAUAUAGAGUAACAAUUAACCAUCAAUUCAACUUGCAACAUUAUACUUGUCCCUAAGUUCAAGAACAUUGUACCUGUGCAAUUUACUUUCUUUUCCACCCAACCACAUAAAUGUCAUAAGGUUCCAAUAUAUUUCACUAUAUAUAUAGUUUUUUAAAAAAAAAAGAGAGAUUAACCGUACAAAUUUAGAAAUUUUAAGUAGUUGUUACCUGAAGAACUUAGUUGUAAUGACCCUAAAGGUCAUUUUUGGAAAUUUUCAUAAAAUGACCGUUCUACCCCUCCCGAUAGUUGCCCCGAGUCCUAAUUGUUGUAAUUUCGAAGUUGGUUUGAAGGAAAAUUGAUGAAAAGUUGAGUUUUUGGAAAGUUGAGUUUUUAAGAGUUAAAGUUUGGUUAAAAGUGCUAUUUCGAGUCAUUUGGAGUUUUGAGACUCGAAUCGGAUUUCUGUCGAUUCCAGCAGUUUUAGAAUGUCAAAACGGGUCAGUGAGGAUUUACGGAGUUGAAUUUGGAGUUAAAACGAAGAUUUGAGGUCCUAAGUUGCAAAAAUUGUGAAAUUUUGAUCAAGAGUUGACUUUGGUCAACAAACAAGGUUCCGGGGCUCGAAAUGGAAUUCCGAGGGCACCGUUGGAUUCAGGGGAUGAUUCUAAGUCUAGAAUGAGUCUUGGUUGAAUUUUUAGAGGCCCCAAGUGCGUUUCGAGUUUUUGAGCCUAAAGUUAGUUUCUUGACGCCUUAUCGGAUACCGGGUCAAGGAGACCUCGAAUUCAAAUUCCGACGAUUUCAUUGAGUCCGAAAUGUCAUUUUCAAGCUAGUAGCAUAUUUGGUUUGUGUUCGGGAAGUGCCAAAUGAGUUUUGGGUGAGCUUUUAAGCUUCUUGGAUGCUUUGACACUAUUUCAGCAAAUUGUGGCAACUAAAGGGUUCAUUAUUAGUUUUAAAGGUCGAAAAAUUAUUCUGAAGGUUCUGAAAUUUUGAGCAUGAAUUAUAGGACUUAUCUGCAAAUUUUGGUGCAUUUUCGCUAACCCGAGAUUGGAUUUUUAUCGCAAAUAAGAAAUAAUUGUUUACCGAGUAGAAAUGAUAUUUGACUGAACAACGAGCAUGAAAUUGACCUCCGAUUGAAUGAGCAAGUCCGUAUCAUUAUUUAAGACUUUUACAAAAAAGAAUCGGGUCAUUUCACUAUCGUAUGAGGAAAUUACGGCCUUUUUAGUGAAAGAUCAACUGCUGUUUUCUGGUGCAUAACAGCCAUGUACUGUUAUAAAAAUCUCAGUCUAUGUUCAUUUGGUAUUUUGAGCAUAUUGGGAGUUCUAGAGAUCAGAAUGGAGUGAUUCUUAUGGGUUUCUUCUUGAAUUAAUAUGAGGGUUAGUAUUCAAUCUUCAAUUCGACAUUUUCUCAUAAUUUCUUUAUCUGAUUUUUUUCCUAUCCGUAAAUCUCUUGGGAAAAAUUGGGGUUUUAUCUAUUUGGACUCCCUUUUUGAUAAAAAGGUAUAUUUACGAUCCUUAUGUUAUGGGCAAACUGAGAUUAACAUAAAAUUAUUGAUUCAUCGAUUAUUUUCACCAUAUUAACCGCGUACAAUUUGGACUUUCUCGGUAAAGUUAAAGUUUGAUAAAUUGAGAAUUUCAAGGUCGAUCUUAACUCUGUUUUUGAUGAAAUUUCAUAUUUGAACUUAUCUAAGCACGGGUAAGAUGUUUUUCAAGAGAUAUUUCAUUUUCGAGUCGGGGUUUGAAAUCCGAAUAUUUUAGGCUUCUUCAAGAACGUGGAUCUUCCUUCAAAUUGAGUUUGUGAACUCAUUUCAACUCCUUUUUCGAAACGGUUUUCACUAUUGGAUUCUAAAUUUCUUGGGGAACAUUUUUCACUAAAAAUUUCCAGAUUUCGAGAAUAUUUUCCGGAACGAGAUUUUUGACCAUUUUACCCUUGUUCUCCAAAUUUCACGAUAUUGGUGUUGUUAGAUUCGUAUUGAUUGUGGGAUUCCAUUUAUGAAUAGAUUGUGGUGAUUUGGAGCGUGCUCGGAAGGGUAAAACUCAAAUUUGAGUUACUAGUUGAAGUGUUUUGAGGCAAGUGACUUCUAAACUUUGUUAAACUCUUAGACUACGCAUGACUACUUUCCUAAUUGUGUUGGGGAGUAAUGGGGAUUGAGGAUGAGUUUUAUUUGUUGAUUGAAAUUGUUGUAAAUGAAAGAUGGGGAAAUAAAACGAGCUAAAUGUGUUAUAUGUGACUUGAAUUUGUUGAAUAAGUCAUGUGAUAACUCAUAUUGAGGGGAUAGAAGAGCAUGAGUAGGCUAUGAUUGAUACAGACAUUGAUGUUGAAACAGAUGAUGUGUAAUACUAUGAUGUGGCCGUGAUAUGGUUGUGAUUGAGACAUAUGAUGUGUAAUACUAUGAUGUGGCCGUGAUAUGGUUGUGAUUGAGACAUAUGAUGUGUAAUACUAUGAUGUGGCCGUGAUAUGGUUGUGAUUGAGACAUAUGAUGUGUAAUACUAUGAUGUGGCCGUGAUAUGGUUGUGAUUGAGACAUAUGAUGUGUAAUACUAUGAUGUGGCCGUGAUAUGGUUGUGAUUGAGACAGAUGAUGUGUAAUACUAUGAUGUGGCCGUGAUAUGGUUGUGAUUGAGACAGAUGAUGUGUAAUACUAUGAUGUGAUCGUGAUAUGAUUGUGAUUGAUGACAUGUGCAUAUUCAUUAUUCAUCCCAUGUGUGAACUAUCUGUUGCAUGAGUUCUGAGACACUGAUAUGAGGAUGGAUGGAUAUGAGACACAGUUGAGACUAGCUCCGGCUAGCGAUUUGGAUGCCGAUGGGAUCUGGUUCCGGCGGUGAUACAUGGUCCAUGUGUGGCCCCCAUGGGUUCUGAUUUGAGUAUUCAGCGCGGACUGAUUACGUCAACAGAUGUGUAUCGUAGGACAGACAUGCAUCACGACUACAUGACAUCAUUAUUGCAUUUUGCAUCGCAUUUGCCUUAUCUUUGUCUGUGAUGUGUGGAUUGUAUCGGUUUACCCUUCUUAUGUGGAAUUUGAUCUACUUGCUCUUAUUUGUUGAUCUGAGGUUGAUGAGGAUAUACUGUUGGUUCUGGCUGUUGAAUAUGAUCUGUUUAGUAUAGGUUGGUUGGUUUGCUGCUAGAUUGAAGUUUCGGUGGUUCGGUUGGGAUUGAAAGAAGUUGUUUGUAGCUGCUAGUUUAGCUUAGUUUAGUGUUACUUGCGAGUACCUGUGGUUUUCGGUACUCACCCUUGCUUCUACACAAUUGUGUAGGUUGACAGCUCUCUCAGAUUCGGCUUAGUAUUUUCUUUAGCAGAUUGAGCUUCGGGACAUACUCGAGAGGUAGCGGUUCAUUCCAGACGUGCCCUUGAGUUAUCUUUACUUUCAGUUUUGUUCUAUUCGAGAACUAUACUCUGAGACUUGUAUAUUUUUAUUCGAAUUCUGUAUUUAGAGGUUUGUACAUGUGACAACCAAAUUCUGGGUAGUGUUGAGUCUUAAUUAAAGUCUUUCGCUUAUUUAUUAUCUUUUAUUCUCAUAUUUCUACUUCUCUAUCGUUGUGGUUGGGUUACGCUGACGUGUCUGGUGGGAAAUGGACACGUGCCAUCACAUCCGGAUUUGGGGUGUGACAUUAGUUGCUUCUCAUUGACGCCGCACACUGCACAUGGUUUGUCCCUAUUCUCUUUAUUUCUUUUCUUAAAUAAUUAUGUACUAAAAGUGACAAAUUCUAUUAACUUAUUUUAAUAUAUAUUCAAAUAGUAUAGGAUUUUAAAUAAAUUUUAGAUUUGGCUCAUUAUUAUCGACUAAAUUAAUUAUUUAAUAAAUAUCCAUUAAUUAACUAAACAUAGUUAUCGAAUAGUUCAAAAUUCUCAAACCAACUUCACUGACUGAUCAAGAAAUGACUUGUAGCAACUAUCGAGAUGGGUAAAACAAUACUUUUUAUGAAAGUUUUAAAAAAAAGACCUUUUGGGUCAUUACACUUCUUCUCCAUCCACCACCAAAUAUCAUCAUAACCAUUAUCAAUAUCAUUUUUCUUCUUCUUCAUCAUCCUCAAUUUCCUCUCUUUUUUCACCCAUUACUUGGCGACACCAUAUCCAUAAAGUUGUCAUCUUCACCAAAUUCAAAAAUUAAUUAAUCUUCUUCAACACCUUCAAUUUUCUCUCUUUUUUCCUCCCAUUACCCAAAAUCACCAUAUCCAUAAAGUAGUCAUUACAAUCAAACCUAAAAAUUGAUUAACAACCACAAUAUCUUUAACAAAGUCAAAAAAACAAGAAGAUAAAAACAAUCAACCAAAAUCAGCUAAACAUAACUUAUGUAUUUAUUUAGAUAUAUCUGAAAUUCUUUUCAGAUCAUUCCUUUAGUAAAAAUUAUCACAAAAUACAAUUAUUUUACUAAUAAAUCUAUGAGAAUUAACCUAUUGCUAGUCAAAAAGAAAAGUUGUGCUUUGAGAUUGUGUUGUAAAAUGAAGGAUGAAGAAGAAGAGAUGUGAAAAAGAAGAAGAAUAGGAGUGAAGAAGAAGAGGUGUGUGGGUAGUGGUGGGGGUGGAGGGGGUUGAAAGCUGAUUCUAAUUAUUAUUUUCAUUUUUAUUUCUAACUGAUAUGUUUAGUUUUUAUUUUCAUUUUAUUUCUUUGCCACGUCAGUUUUAAGGGGUAAAUAAAUUCAUUUUUGAUAAGUAAAGGUGUGUAAUAGGUCAUAAUGAUAGUUUAAGUGUGUAAGUGACUUUUUGAGACGAGUUCAAGGGGAUAUUUAUGUCUUUUAUAAAAAAUAAACUAAAUCAUAAUGAAAGACAAUAAAUAAAAUGGGACAAGAGCGGUUAACUCCAAAUUAGAAUUCGGUUUUUCAGUGUUCAUUUUUCUAAUCCGAAAUCAAAUCAAAAACCAAACAAAGCAAAUCCAAUACCAAAUCACAAAAUCAAAAAAAAGCAAUUCAAAUUAAAAUUCGGUUCGAUUUGGUUUGGUAUUUCGGUUUAAUCCAUAUAGUGCACACCCCUAAAUACAUGUAUAAGUUAUGCAUAAUUUUAUAUUAUUUUAUAUAGGAUAAAAGAUGGAAUAAAUUAUAUAUAUUAUGAAUAAUUGUAUAUUAUUUUUUUCAAGAUAAAAGAUGCAAUAACUUAUACAUAACUAAUAAUUGUAUAAAAACAAAACAUGGAUUUUCUAAUGGAUACCAGUCAAGAGGAGGAAGAGGUAAUAUCCUCAUCCAGCAUGGAAACAAACAGCUGGUAACCGCUAAUAUUGCAUCUAGUUCCAGUGGAACCAGUGGGAUGGAUAUAAAUCAUCCGAUGUAUAAGGAGUUUAUGGAUUUUAUGAAAUCCAAGAAAGAGUCAGAUAAUAAUAAUCCACCAUCAUACUCUUCAAUUUUAAUAGAUGAUGAGAACAUAGAGGUUUUUGAUAUGAACGACAAGAAAGAAGUUAUACUUCUUUUAGAAGAAAAUGAUCUCAAAUGGAGGAAUGAGCCAUGGCAGAUAAUGGCUAGGUAUUUGGAUACAGUAUCUUAUACUAAUAUUGUGUACAAAUACAGAAUGCACUAUGAGAUAAUACUCUCAUCUAUAGGAUGCGAAUUUCAGCAUUUUUACCCUGCUAAUACCAAGAAAGUUUACAACUUUUCAAAAUUGAUUAUAAAAAAGAUUAUAGCACCUGAAGAGUGGGGUAUGAGUACUUUAAAGGAAUUGGAUUAUAUCCACCCAGAGCAAAAAGUUGCUGUAAAAUACAAUUAUUGGGAUUAUAUCGAUGGAUUUAAUAAGGUCCUGUUAUAUGAAAAUGCUAAUAGGAAGCAUUCGUGGUUUAUUAAAAUAUGUUCUAAUAUAUUUGACAGGCAUAUUCCUAAUUGGUUCUGCAAAUGGUGGACUUUAUAUGGUCCUUCAGUAAAAAAUCUUACCAGAAUCAUACAAGAAAUUAUAUUUGGAAUGGGUAGACAUAUCCCCAAAAUUAAUUAAGUUACAGAAAGAGAAUAUAUUCUUUGAGGGAAUAUCCUUGAUGUAUUUCUUCAUUGAAUUUUCAAUUCCUUGGAUUAUGAAAUGGUCAAUAGAAGUUAAUACUACUUCAGAAGGAUUUCCUUGUCUGCAGAGAACUUUUUAUACUAAGUUCUGGAGUAAAUUACUUCAGAAGAACCCUGAAGGCAAGUUAUAUGGCCAAGAGAUUAUUGAUUUAAUAAAUGUUAAAAUUAGUCAAUAUGAGGCUGUUGUUAUGGAACCGUCUAUCAUAGAAGAUUUAAGUCCAUUAAAAAAGAUUACAAGAAAACUUCAAAUGAAGAAAGGACUUAUCUCUAAGUCAGAAGCUAUUGCCAUAUAUAUGGAAGAAGUAAAGAAAGAUUUAAUGAAAAAUCUUGAUAUUGAGAUAAAAGAUGAUAUUUCUAUGGCUUCAGCCAGUCAUACUAAUGAAGAAGAUGAUACAUGUAUUGCUGGAGAAGGACAAGAUAUUGAUGAUGAAGAAAUAGAUCUUGAGACUAUUCUCAAGAGAUAUCAACAGCAAAUAGAAGAGUCUUCUAGUGCAAGCACAGCUGGCGAUAAAGGAAAAGGCAAAAUAUAAAGAAUCGUCACUAUUUGGUCACAUGUCAUAAGAGGCCAAAGAAUUAAAGAUACUUUUAUAAAGAUUAGCCGAAAGUAUUGUCGGCCAUUUUAGACCAUGCGAAGGCCAUAAGGGCUUGUCGGUCUUAUCUUUUGUUUAUUGGCCAUUGUAUAAAGUUGUGGGCCACUCUUUUUAUUUGAUUAGGUGUGAUACCUCUAUAUAAGAGGAAGUUUGUAUUCAGUAGGAGGCAGGUUUUAGAACUCCCUCUCUCUCUCUUUUCAAAAUUCUCUCUCUCCCUUGUAAUAUUUCCUUAGUAAUUUUCAAUAAAAGGUUUGCAAUUUGGUUUGGAAGAUUUCAUUAUAAGGUACUUUUUCUACUUUUCCUUAUUAUUAUUAUAUUUCUUUAUGUUCAUCAGCCCAAUGAUGGGCUAAACUGCUUGUGUUGAGCUGUAGCAUACUAAGCUAUUAUAAGAUGGCGUUGUGUCUAUCAUGUUGACAGAUUGAACAAGUUAGAUUAAGGUCAGUCAUAGAUAACACAGGCCAGUAUAUGAAAGGUAGCCGAAGGAAUCCGUUGGAUUACCCGUUGGAUUACCCAUGAGAAAGGCGGACCAGGGCGGACCCGGAUAAUAGGGACUCUUUUAUACACUGUUGCCAGGGUCAGCUAUGUUCGUAAAGGUUCCUAAUAGUCUAACUAUUGUGCAAUAGUUUUCAGCAUUUAAAGGCUGAACUCCACCACCUUUAAAUUUCUUUACUAAGAAAUGCUCAAGAUCUGAAUAAUCUUUAAUCUUGAAGUCUUCAAUCUCUGGAGGUGGUUGUAAACUGCUAUGAGCAAUUUUUUCUUUUCCUUUUGACUUAGUAGGUAAAAGGGAAAUAAUCUUAUCAACUUUGUCAUGUAAAGAGACAAUAUGAUAACCCAAAAUACUCAUAUAAAUAUUAGCAUAAUUAUUCUUCUUAAUCAUGACAUUAACAUGUUGAGCAGUCACUGAAGCAGUGUCAUUUUCAAAUAUUUUGAAAAAGCAUUAAAGUUAACAACCUUAUCAUUUUUAUUAAUCUGAAAAGACUGUUGUGGAGGAAAGACUGCUUUAGUAAUUUCUCCAUUACUAAGAGUGAAAUCUCUUUCGAAAACGAUCGCACAAUAGUUAGACUAUUAGGAACCUUUACGAACAUAGCUGACCCUGGCAACAGUGUAUAAAAGAGUCCCUAUUAUCCGGGUCCGCCCUGGUCCGCCUUUCUCAUGGGUAAUCCAACGGGUAAUCCAACGGAUUCCUUCGGCUACCUUUCAUAUACUGGCCUGUGUUAUCUAUGACUGACCUUAAUCUAACUUGUUCAAUCUGUCAACAUGAUGGACACAACGCCAUCUUAUAAUAGCUUAGUAUGCUACAGCUCAGCACAAGCAGUUUAGCCCAUCAUUGGGCUGAUGAACAUAAAGAAAUAUAAUAAUAAUAAGGAAAAGUAGAAAAAGUACCUUAUAAUGAAAUCUUCCAAACCAAAUUGCAAACCUUUUAUUGAAAAUUACUAAGGAAAUAUUACAAGGGAGAGAGAGAAUUUUGAAAAGAGAGAGAGAGGGAGUUCUAAAACCUGCCUCCUACUGAAUACAAACUUCCUCUUAUAUAGAGGUAUCACACCUAAUCAAAUAAAAAGAGUGGCCCACAACUUUAUACAAUGGCCAAUAAACAAAAGAUAAGACCGACAAGCCCUUAUGGCCUUCGCAUGGUCUAAAAUGGCCGACAAUACUUUCGGCUAAUCUUUAUAAAAGUAUCUUUAAUUCUUUGGCCUCUUAUGACAUGUGACCAAAUAGUGACGAUUCUUUAUAUUUUGCCUUUUCCUUUAUCGCCAGCUGUGCUUGCACUAGAAGACUCUUCUAUUUGCUGUUGAUAUCUCUUGAGAAUAGUCUCAAGAUCUAUUUCUUCAUCAUCAAUAUCUUGUCCUUCUCCAGCAAUACAUGUAUCAUCUUCUUCAUUAGUAUGACUGGCUGAAGCCAUAGAAAUAUCAUCUUUUAUCUCAAUAUCAAGAUUUUUCAUUAAAUCUUUCUUUACUUCUUCCAUAUAUAUGGCAAUAGCUUCUGACUUAGAGAUAAGUCCUUUCUUCAUUUGAAGUUUUCUUGUAAUCUUUUUUAAUGGACUUAAAUCUUCUAUGAUAGACGGUUCCAUAACAACAGCCUCAUAUUGACUAAUUUUAACAUUUAUUAAAUCAAUAAUCUCUUGGCCAUAUAACUUGCCUUCAGGGUUCUUCUGAAGUAAUUUACUUCAGAACUUAGUAUAAAAAGUUCUCUGCAGACAAGGAAAUCCUUCUGAAGUAGUAUUAACUUUUAUUGACCAUUUCAUAAUCCAAGGAAUUGAAAAUUCAAUGAAGAAAUACAUCAAGGAUAUUCCCUCAAAGAAUAUAUUCUCUUUCUGUAACUUAAUUAAUUUUGGGGAUAUGUCUACCCAUUCCAAAUAUAAUUUCUUGUAUGAUUCUGGUAAGAUUUUUUACUGAAGGACCAUAUAAAGUCCACCAUUUGCAGAACCAAUUAGGAAUAUGCCUGUCAAAUAUAUUAGAACAUAUUUUAAUAAACCACGAAUGCUUCCUAUUAGCAUUUUCAUAUAACAGGACCUUAUUAAAUCCAUCGAUAUAAUCCCAAUAAUUGUAUUUUACAGCAACUUUUUGCUCUGGGUGGAUAUAAUCCAAUUCCUUUAAAGUACUCAUACCCCACUCUUCAGGUGCUAUAGUCUUUUUUAUAAUCAAUUUUGAAAAGUUGUAAACUUUCUUGGUAUUAGCAGGGUAAAAAUGCUGAAAUUCGCAUCCUGUAGAUGAGAGUAUUAUCUCAUAGUGCAUUCUGUAUUUGUACACAAUAUUAGUAUAAGAUACUGUAUCCAAAUACCUAGCCAUUAUCUGCCAUGGCUCAUUCCUCCAUUUGAGAUCAUUUUCUUCUAAAAGAAGUAUAACUUCUUUCUUGUCGUUCAUAUCAAAAACCUCUAUGUUCUCAUCAUCUAUUAAAAUUGAAGAGUAUGAUGGUGGAUUAUUAUUAUCUGACUCUUUCUUGGAUUUCAUAAAAUCCAUAAACUCCUUAUACAUCGGAUGAUUUAUAUCCAUCCCACUGGUUCCACUGGAACUAGAUGCAAUAUUAGCGGUUACCAGCUGUUUGUUGCCAUGUUGGAUGAGGAUAUUACCUCUUCCUCCUCUUGACUGGUUACGUCCUCUUUCCCUUUGUGGAGGGGGCCAUGAUGGUCUCAUCCUACAAAAAGACAUAAACUUUUAUUAGGCCAAAUAUUCUCUAGUAAGAAAAUCUAGAAGACUAUUAUCUUCACCCUUUUUAUACUGUAUUUCAAAAUCAAAAGGUGCUAAUAAUGCUUGCCAUCUUGCAAACAUUUGUUUAGACACAUCAUGUUUACAAUCUUUAUUAAACAUAAAUUUAGCUGCUUGGCAGUCAGUUUUUAUUAAAAACUUCUGAUUAUAAAGAUCACCUUGAAAUUUCAAAACACAUUUUACUAUAGCUAAGAUUUCUUUGGCUAUAGUGGCGUAGUUUUUCUGAGCUGUGUUCCAUUUACCAGAAUAAAAUUGAAAAAUAUAAUGUCUUUUAUUUUUAGGACAAUAUUGAGUAAGAAUACCGCCAUAUCCUAUAUCUGAAGCAUCAGUUUCUACCGUCUUUGCCCAAUUUGGAUUGGCCAAAGUUAAACAUGGAAGGUUUUUAACCUUUUCCUUGAUUCUUUUAACUGCUUCAGUAUGAUCAUCUGACCAUGCCUUAGGAUUCUUUUUUAACCGGUCGUAUAAAAUAGCUGUGUCUUUUGCUAAAUCCUUAACAAAAGGAGCAAUAUAAUUAAGACUCCCAAGAAAUCUCUAUAAUUGAGUUUUGUUAGUAAUAACAUCCGAAAAUUUAGAAGAAAAAUCAAUACUUCUGUUAAUAGGACUAAUAUUACCUCUUUCAAUAUUAUGACCAAGAAACCUAACAUUUGUUUUAAACAAAGCCAUCUUAGGUUGAGAUAACACCAACCCAUUUUGGAUAAUAAUCCUUUUAAACAACUCUAAGUGUUUAAAAUGAAUUUCUAUAUUUUUAGAAAAUACAAGUAUAUCAUCUAUAUAAACUAUUAUAAAAUUACUAUAAGGAAUAAAAAUAUCGUUCAUUAUUUUCUGAAAUUCUGAUGGAGCAUUUUUUAAACCAAAUGGCAUAACAUUCCAUUCAAAUUGCCCCAUUGGCACAUUAAAGGCGGUUUUACACUUGUCUGAUUCAGCUAUCUGAAUCUGCCAAUAGCCUGAUUUCAAAUCAAAUUUAGAGAAUAUAAUAGCAUCAUAAACUCUAUCUAAUAAAUCCUUUUUAUUAGGAAUCGGAUACCUAAUCCAUCUUAAAGCUUUAUUAAGAGGUUUAUAAUUUAUUACCAAUCGAGGUGCUCCCCUUUCCUGUUCGGCAUGUUUAUUAACAUAGAAUGCAGUACAAGACCAUGGUGAUUUGGAUUGCCUUAUAAGGCCUUUUUGCAAUAAAGAGCUAAUUUCCUUUUUGCAUAAUUCUAAAUAUUCAGAAUUCAUCUGACAAGGUCUUGCUUUUGUAGGAAUAUUAUCCUCAUCAAAACCAUCUUCAUAUGGAAGACUUACAACAUGCUUUUUUCUAUUCCAAAAAGCAUUGGGGUGAUCUCCACAAAUCUCAAGAGAGAAUUGAUUGGCCAAGAUAUUAAUUUUAUCUUGUAAUUUAGGAUUUUGUAAAAUAUUUUCAAUUUCAAUACUAUUAAUUUCUUGUUUUAUAAAAUUGACUUGAUUAUUUUUUGAAACCAACAAUUUGGCAGUUAAAUCAUUUAUCAUUCUAGUAAAUGGUUUAGUGACAAACUCUAAUAUAAACGGUUUGUUAUUCCAAGUUCCAAUAAUUUUAUUAUUAUCCCAAUGAGUGAGUGGGAAGAUAUCAUUUAUAAAAGGUACACCCAAAAUAAUUUGAUUAGUGAUAUUUUUUACUAAAACAAAACUUUGAGGGACACAACUUUUCCCUCUACAUAUAAAAGCUUUGGGUAAUUUAAACUCAAUAUUCAUUUUGCUUCCAUUAGCAGAACGAAGGCUAUGAGUUGUUUUAUGAAAAUAUCUUGAAGGUAUAAGACCUUCUUGAAUGCAGUUUAAAUCAGCUGCACUAUCAAUAAGCGCAAUAAAUUCUUUUUUAUAAUUAUAAUCUAUCAACAGAGUAAUUUUAGUGUAAAACUUUUGAGAAGUAAAAGCUUUGAGACUAUAUAAAAAAUAUGUUUUAUCAUUUUUUAAAUAAAGGUUUUUCAUAAUUUCAAGGCUGUCAUUUUCCCCUUCAAGAGAGGAAGAUGAUUCAGAAGCAUUCCCCAAAUUUUGGAGUGUCUGUAUUGCAUCCAGCCUAACCUCUAUAACAACAUUUUUUUCUUUAAGACGUAUAAUGUCUUCUUUGAGAUUAUUAAUCUCUUCUUUUAAAUCACUAAUCGUGGUAGGAGAACUUAUCAUUUUCCUUCUUUCUAAUAAGAGAUUUUUAACCUCUGCCAUAGUAUAUGAACCUUCUUUAGUAGGAAUUUCUUUAGGGAUAUGAUUUUUUUUCAUAAAUAUGAUCAUUCUCUUUUGAAUCACUGAUUUUAUCAAUGAUUUGAGCCCUGAUUUCAGGGUCUUUAAUAUUUUGUAGGAGCUCUAUUAUUUUGUCAUUAUCAAUGACAUUGAGACUCAUUUCUUUAAAUUGAUCAUAGAUCUUAUAAAGAUCGUCUUCAUCCUCCUUUUCACAUGCCAUUCCUUGUUGGCAAGGUGAGCAUUCAUCUUCAGAAGUCAAAUAGUCUUCUUGUUGAAGAGCUUUAAGAUCUUCACUUGUUGAAGAUUCUUCUUCACUGCUAUAUUCUGAUCCCGUUCCUGAGUCAGAAUUAAGCAUAAUCUUAUAAAGAGAAUUCUUCAUAUUAUCUUCUAUGUCAAGACUUUUAAUCUUUUCCUUGACUCUGCAAUCUUUGGCAUAAUGACCAAAUCUUCCACAUUUGUGACAAGUAUCUGAUUUAUUAUAAUUCUGGCGAUACUUCUUCUUUCUCCUAGAAGAGUCUCCUUUACCUUCCUCAGCUCUUUUUAGCUUCUUUUCGAUUCUCUUCUUUUUCCAUUUUUCAUAAUCUUUUUUGGAAGAUUUCUUCUUCUUAUGAUGAGUGUCCUCAUUAUCUCUUGAUUUAUUUUUAGGAAUAUCAAAUGCGAUUUGUUCGCAAAAUUCUCCUAAUUGUUUCCUUUCAUUUAAGCGAUGUCGCUUAAUUUGUUGAUUCAACUUGAUUUCAUUACACAAGGAUAGACCUUCCUGUACACAGGCACUUAUAAGUUUUCCAUAAGUAUAAUCAUCAUAAUUAAUACUAUGAUUAUCUCCUCUUAUGGCCUUCCUGACUCUUUCAGCAAAUAAAGUCGGUAAUCCAUCUAUAAAUUUGGAUUUCCAAUGAGUGCUAUUACACUCUGGUAAUUCCAUAACUCUACAAAGGAAAACAUCCUUAUAGUACCUGAAAGAUGUAAGGGUCUUACAUCUCAGGUUUUGGAGAAGAGUUCUAAUGGUCUCACUAUUAUCUGACCAUCUUCCUGAGAAAUGUUCAAUAAUAUUUAAAACCAGUGUAUACACUGCAUUUUGAGUGACUUGUUCUCCUUCUUGUUUUACUGCCAUUAGAACCCUAUCUCUUUGUUCCUGGUUGAGAUAAUUAUCCCACCAACCUUUCAAUUGGCCAGUAAAACCUGCUGUUAUCAUAUCAGUAAUAGUCUUAUCGCUAUUUUUAUUGGUUUUACAGAUAGUACUGUACAUUAACAUUCUAUGAACAGUUGUAUAUAUUUGUCUAUCGGUAUAACCAUCUAUGUUCCAUUCAUAGAUUUCUUUUCCAUUAUAACUAUUAGUUAUAAUAUGUUCAUGUUCUUCAAGUAGAACAUCUUGGGGAGUGGGUCUAGGAUAAUAGAACAUCCUUUGGAAAGGUUUCCUAGCAUAUCUCUCUGAUAUCUUAUUAAUACUAUCAUAAAAUUCUUUUUUAUUGCUAGGUUCCCCUUCAUCAAAGUUUUCAGCAUUUAAAGGCUGAACUCCACCACCUUUAAAUUUCUUUUCUAAGAAAUGCUCAAGAUCUGAAUAAUCUUUAAUCUUGAAGUCUUCAAUCUCUAGAGGUGGUUGUAAACUGCUAUGAGCAAUUUUUUCUUUUCCUUUUGACUUAGUAGGUAAAAGGGAAAUAAUCUUAUCAACUUUGUCAUGUAAAGAGACAAUAUGAUCACCCAAAAUACUCAUAUAAAUAUUAGCAUAAUUAUUCUGCUUAAUCAUGACAUUAACAUGUUGAGCAGUCACUGAUGCAGUGUCAUUUUCAAAUAAUUUUGAAAAAGCAUUAAAGUUAACAAUCUUAUCAUUUUUAUUAAUCUGAAAAGACUGUUGUGGAGGAAAGACUGCUUUAGUAAUUUCUCCAUUACUAAGAGUGAAAUCUCUUUCAAGCAUAGAAAUAUAAUUAUGAACAUGUUUGCACAUAAACCAUGGAACAAAUGCUAUUAAACGAUUUAUUCCUGAAUCUAUAAGAUCUUUAUAAAAUUCUUCUUGAAAAUCAUGUUGUUCAACUUUAUUAAAGUUGUUGAAAAACCAUUUUCUAAAUAGUUUCCAUUUCUUCCUUUGAAAAUCUUUAGCAAUACGUGCCCUUGCCAGAGAUCCCGGACUAAAAUCAAUAAUUUUGUCAGUCAUAUAAAAACAAGUUUUACCUGUUAUUCCAUCUGGAAAAUUCAUUUCAGAUUCAGUUAUAUCUAAAUCAGAAUUAGCUCUCUGAAUUGGUUGAGCUAUAUUAUCUUUAUCAAUUUUUAUAUUGUCACAUCUAUAUGUUUCUCUAAUUUGAGAAGUAGAUGCACGAGAAGGAACUUGUACAAUAUAAUCGAUAGGAGAAAUAUAAGAAGAGCUAGAUCUAGUCAUUCUAGAAGACAUGCUAUGAUUCUCAAUAAGCAUGUUAGUCUGUUCAUGAAAUCUGACUUUUACAGUUCCAUCAAUUAACUGUUCAAUUUCAGAAACUUCUGUAUUAAUAUUAUUUUGAGGUUGAGUAGUAUUCUCAAUAACCCACUCUUGUGGAAAAUCAAUUUCUUCCCACUUAAUAGGUCUUCUAGUAACUACUUUACAUUUAUCAAAAUUAGUUUCUAUUAAAAUAGUUUCAUUUUUAAAAUCAAUAACUUUACACAUGGGAUUUAGAGUAUGUAAUAGUUUAUAAUAAAUCCUAUAACAUAUACAAACAACUUCAGUACUAGGCAUAUAAUCAUAACCAUGAAGUUUAACAUUUAACAUAAGAGAACUUAAUGAGUUCUCAUCCUGCAAGGAAAUUUGUAAAUUAGGAUAAGCAUUGAAAUAAACUGGUCCAUAAGCUAGACUAGUUUGAAUAGUCCCUAUAAGAGAUUUUUUCCAAUUAUGAUUUCUACCAUCACGUAACGCUGCUAUAAAGCUUUCUGGUAACCCUCUUAACGUAAGAGGUUUAAAUGCAACUUGUACUAAACCAAUAUGCAUGAAUCUAUAAAUAUCCCUAUAAGGGGCUAUAUCAUUAUCAGAUAAUAAUCUAAAAGUCUGGUUGUCACUAUCAAUAGUGAUAGUUUCUUCUGUGGUUUUAACCACCUGUUUGAGACCUAGUUUCUCAAAAGUAACCAUUUGAUAUAUAAUUCUAGGUGAAAUUUUAGGAAUAGUCCACUUAUUAAGUAGAUCAAGAUGUUGAGGUAUAUCAUAUUCUUCCUUUCUACUGUUUUUAACAGUAGACCUUUUCUUUAUGAUAUUCAUAAAGGAAACUGUGUUGAACUAUAACACCUAUAGCUAUUAUAAGUCCAUGGCUCUGAUACCAAAACGAAAACGAUCGCACAAUAGUUAGACUAUUAGGAACCUUUACGAACAUAGCUGACCCUGGCAACAGUGUAUAAAAGAGUCCCUACUAUCCGGGUCCGCCCUGGCCCUUCUUCUUCUUCUAUUAUUAUUAUUAUUAUUAUUAUUAUUAUUCUUAUUAUUAUUAUUAUUAUUNNNNNNNNNNNNNNNNNNNNNNNNNNNNNNNNNNNNNNNNNNNNNNNNNAUUCUUCUUCUUCUUCUUCUUCUUCUUAUUAUUAUUAUUAUUAUUAUUAUUCUUAUUAUUAUUAUUUACAUUAUUUACAUUAUUAUUAUUAUUAUUAUUUACAUUAUUAUUAUUAUUAUACAUUAUUUACAUUAUUUACAUUAUUUACAUUAUUAUUAUUAUACAUUAUUUACAUUAUUUACAUUAUUUACAUUAUAUUUACAUUAUUAUUAUUUACAUUAUUAUUAUUUACAAUCUAUACCAGGUGGUUUUUGGAGGUUAGACAUGACCUCAACAUGUAGAUAUAUCAAACAAAGUAGUACAAUGAGUAUGGCAUAAAUCAUAACCUCACUCUAAAAAGGAAGAGUGUAUCUAAUCACUCUUAAGGCGUAUUGAAGAUAAAUGAGAGUUGUUAGAAUGGAUAUAAAUAUUCAGAUUGGAAUGAGAGUAUUCAUCUAUUUAAAAUGAGGCUAUACAAAUAGUCAAGACUUGAGUACUUUAAUUUAUCCACAUCGUAGGCAGUAAAUUUACUCCCUAGAACAAAGAGAUCUUUUAUAGUAAACACUUGAGUACUUUAAUUUAUCUUGAUUAAUCAGCUCCUUAACUAAAGAAUUAAACUCAUUUAAACAAUCAAUAUUUACUAGAGCAGUGAAAGAUUAUUAUUGUAGUGCAUAAGGUGCUAUAUCAUUCAAUUGGUAUCAAAGAAAAAGGAAUUGAUAUAAGAAUAAAAUCUUGAAACGAUCAUAAAUAUCAGCACCAUCAACUACAUAAACAUGGCAAUCAACUAGAACCACUAUGGAUAGUAAAAGAAUAAAAUACGAAACUAUCUAAUUGGAGUAUGAAAUGUUGUACUUAAUGGGCCUACCAUCCUUAUGAAAGCUAAUGAAAAUUGGAAGACUCAUGUUCCUAAGAGAAUACUAAAGUAUAAUGUUAAAGAUAAGGUGGUUGUUCAAAGAAAUACAAAGGAGAAGAUAAUACUAAUAUGUAAAAUUGAACUUGAUGAGUAUAUCAAGAUUUCAUCAUGUCCUAACAUUAAAGAAAUCUGAGACACACUGCUAAUAACUCAUGAACGAAUAUAUCACGUCAAGAAAUAAAAGAUACAAAUGUUGAACGGAUAAUGUGAAUUAUUUUGGAUGAAAACAGAAACAAUACAAAAUAUGCACACCAGAUUUUCCUUAAUCAUUAAUGAAAUAUACUUACUUCGUAACUUAAUUUGUGAAACAUUCCAUAAGCAAGGUUGUUCAAAAAUUUCUUAGCAUACUGCCUUAUGUAUGAAAAAGUAAAAUGGAGGUCUAAAACUUGUGAUUUGUAUAUUUUUUACUUUGGAUGAUCUGAUUGAAAAUCUGGAGAUUUAUGAACUUAAAAAGACUUAAAAGCGCAACAUAAUAAGAGUACGUAAAGAAAAGAACUCGGUUCUUCAAUCCAUUGAAGAAUGGAUAUAAAGGAUGAAAACAUGGCCCUAACAACUAGCCAACAUAAAAAGGCCAAAGCUUUCAAAGAAAAAAUAUCACAAGAGCAUCAGACAAGAUUAAUUGUAAACAAGUGUGUCACGAGUGCGGAUGCUCAGAUCACUUCAUCAAAUAAUGUCCACAAUAAAAGAUUGAAUGUAGAAAAAAUCAUGUUGAUAAGACUAAAGAGACAAAAAGAUGAACUUUUCAUUUCUAACAAAAGAAUGACCACCAAAGAAAUUGAAAAGUAAUAAAAAUAGCUCUACAUCAAUGCAAAAUUUACUGAGUCAUGACUGGCAAUGAAAGAAAAUCUAGAGAUCAAUCUCUUCUUGCUAUGGAUGAGUCAAAUGAUAAGGACAUUCUAGCACUAACGGGAGACUCUGACUCAAAUGACGAUAGAGAACAAUCUGAGGUAAAUUUUUCUAAAAUAAAAAUAAAAUCAAUUCUUAUUCUAAAAAAAAUAAAAUUGAAUCAAGUUCUUACAUAUGUCUACCACUGCAUAUGCAUUAAAAAGAACCAAUUGGUAUGUCACACCCGAACUUAGGCAUGCAACUGGCACCUGGUGCCACACUUGACCCAGAUCCAACACAUACUAGACAACUAUGCUACUACCAUAAUACCAACCACAAAAUCAAUAAAACAAACAACUAUAUCUCGACAUAAAAAUAAACUGUCGACCGACAAGACUCAUAUCAACAAAACCUACUGUCAAUCUAAGUGACUCCAAUAUCUCAUAUUGAAAAGAAACUAAUCUUUUGUAGACCAACGAGGCAGCCAUGUUAUUCUAGAAACAUAUAAACUAUAUAUAUAAUCAUAUACGAUCAAGGCCAACAAACUGUUGUGCUAAAACAAAUAAACAACAAAGUCAGCAUAGUCUACAAUACACAUUUAUACAAUCCAAAUUCUGCAAGCCUCUUAGGGUCAUUUGAUAUGAUAGAUAAGAGAAGAUAAUCUUGGGAUAAGUUUCUAAUACCUUUUAAUUCUUCGUUUGGUUGCAAAGUUUGAGAUACUUAUCCCAUGAUUAAUAAUUAGUACUGGAAUAAGUUAUCCCUACAUGUGGGCAGAAUAGUAACCCCAUGAUAACAUAUUCUAGAAUAAAGUAUGUAAAAAAAAAAUACUCCCUUCAACCCUCUUGUAUACACCACUUUUACAUUUAUAUAUAUACAUAUAUAUAUAUAUAAAAACAUAAUUCUUAACAACAUUUAUAAUAACAUUCACAACAUUAAUUAAUUGUUGUUAUGAUAAUAUAUUUUUCUAUUGAAAAAUUACAUUAUAUAAAUACAAUUUUUAUUUAUGAAUAUAUAAUAAGUUGAACUUAUUUGAUUAUUUUUUAUGUUUAUUUAUAUUUUGAUAUCUCUUAAAAUGUUCACCCCACUAUGAAAUUACAUAUUCAUUCAAUAGUUUAUUACUCACAAUUAUAUUUUAUAUAUCACUUAAAAUGUAGAUAUUUUUAAUAUUUUACAAAAUAUGAGUGAUAUAUUUUUGGAUGAAGUGACAUAAAUAAUAAAAUUUAUUUUACUUUAAUAAACUUAAAAUACAAGUUUUAUUUUUAAGCUAAAUAAGAUGAAAGUUUUAUUUUUAAGCUAAAUAAGACGAAAAUUUUAAUUUUAAAAACACAUAGCACAAUCUGAAAAUGCACACACAAAAUAAGCUAAAUAAGAUAGAAAUUUUAUUUUGAAGAAUGAAUAAAUAAAUCUUGCAAAAAAAAAUGUAAAAAACAAAAACUAAAUACGGUGGAGGGUCUUUUUGUAAACUACUUAUUCUUAGAAACUAUGCCAAGAAUAUAAGUUUGAAAAUGACAAAUCAAAUAAGCAAUAGAAACUACUCCCAACAUAACUAGUCACAACAUAACUUAUAUUCAAAUCAAAUGUCCCUUAAGAGUAAUAUACUUGGACUGGACAGGGUCCCGAUCUACCCAUCAGCUGAACAUAACAAACACUUGCAAACCUCUAGAUCCGAAAACUCUGAAAGAAGGGGAGCUGACUUGAUGAAACUUGGCUACAAUACUAAGAGCUUGUGUAAUUGUCUAUGAAAAAAUGUAGCGCUUCCAGGAAAUGGGGUGUUAGUGCAAAAUAAUGUACCAAGUAUGAAAGACAAUAGAAUAACUGAGUAGCUUGUCAUGUCUUGGGCGUGGCCGGCAUUUGAGAACCAUUGUUGGUUCCCAAGUGAACCCUUGGCCCUGGCUACUUAGCAGAAUAUGUACUCAAGCAUUUCUAAGUUUAAAUCAAAUGAAUGAAAAAUAUUUAAGUCAAAUAAAAAUCUAACAGUCUGAAGAUGCCGAAUGUAAUAGUUAUAAUUUUUUUGUAAAAUAUCAAAAAGGAAAUACUGAAAGAAUCUCAAACACUGUUUAUCUAUAAAGUCUCUAUUGUUUGAAAGACAUGCGUUGGGACAAGACCCACGACAACCUCAAACAAAAUACUAAAGAAUUAAAAGACUGGAGACCUCCAAAAGCUAGGAGGCCUCACCAAAGGCUGAUAAGAAGCUGAGUGAUAUCAAUGAAACUCAUGUUGAUGAUUCGAAACACCUAUAUAAGCAUCAUAAAAUGAUACAGAUCGAAUGACAUCAACACGUUGAAUGUACGGUAUGUAAUUAGGUUGAGUGAAACAAUAACUAGACCGAAAGACUGAAAUAUUACUCAACUAAAGUAAAGCAUAAACUUGAGAUAAAAUCAUUUAAGCUUCACAAAUAAAAUGCAAUAUUAGCCAAUACAGAACUGAAUGAAUAUAUAUAUAUAUAUAUAUAAUAUUUAUUUUACUAGGAAGUUUCUCUAACCGACAACAAUCAUUAUGAGCCUCGUGAUGAUAUAACGUCUCGCUCACGUUGUCAGAAUUGUCCUAUACCUUGCCAGAGUAUAGAACAACUCCACCCAUAAAUCUACUAAAAGUUUUCUUGAGGCAGGUAAGGAGUCGUCCAGAUUUCGAUACGAUCCUAUCUAUGGUGAAAGGGUAGGUCAUGAGGUUUAAGUUAUCUGAACUCUUAUCCAAAUCGAUGCUCAGUACUACUCCAAAAAUAUAAUAUUGUAUACUCAUGUAAAAGUACUCUCUAGGUUGAAAUAAUUUCUUAAAACACCUCUUUAAGAGGUAACUAAAGUUGUACUAAAUCUGUCCGAAAAUUCUUUAUACUUUUCUGAACAUAGUAUUCCAUUUUCAAUGUAAAAAUAACACAUUUUGAAUCAUCUAAGUUCCCUUAAACUUUUCUGAAAAUUUUGUCUUAAAAUUAUCUCUUGGACUCACUUUAAUCCUCAAAAAGAAUGGAAGGGAAUACUGGCUCGAAAAUACUUUUAGAAAGAAACUCAAUAGGCAUAAGGUUCAUGUGGAACAACAGGCAUAAACAACAAUUUAAGAAUCUCCAAGCAUACAAUAUUGUAAAUCUCAUAAUGUAAGGAUUCAAAACUCGGAACAAGAUCAUAACUCAUAUUCAAGAAUUUCAUAAACUGAGGGCAAAACCCUAGAUUCAACUUUCUACAUACUGAAUUGAGAAGUAGGGUGUUGUCACGCCCCGAGCUACCCCCGAGACGUGGACACGGGAUCUAGGACCACAAGUGAUCCCAAGCUAACCCUGCUGGCAUGAUCACGAGCAUACUAAAUAUAAUCUGAAUAAUAGAAAUUGUGCGGAAGCUAAAUCAUAAAUAAAUUUGAAAACAAAGGGAAUACCCAUAUACUAUAACUGAAUAUAUCAAAUCUGAGAGUUUAAUACAAAAGAAAUAUACAAACUCAAAAUACUAAAGCUGAAUCUAACUAUGUCUGAAAUAAGCCUCUAAACUGACUAGAAAUGUUAGGACAUGCCCCAACUAGGUCUAGCAAAACUGAAACUAAAGACUAAAAGCGAAUAAAGAAUAAACAUGUCACUAGUCCUCGAAGAAUGAGGACUCACCAUUGAUGCUGCUAAACUGAAGAUUGGGAACCGAUCUAAGCGUGAUCUGGAUGCUAAGAACCUGAGCCUACAUCACGAGAAGAUGUAGCGCACGUAUGCGUCAGUACUUGAAAGGUACUGAGCAUGCAAGAUAGAGUAAAGCUGAAAUAACAUAUAACUGAACAAAACAAUAAAGCAAUGAAAUAAUCUGAACAUGAUAUAGAUACUGAAUACUGAGCUAACUGAUGCAAUGACCAAAUUUAUAGCAUGCUGAGACUGAAUACUGACUGUACUGAAAUGUGGUCAAUGCAAUAGAGUCUGACUGAAUUGUGGGAGCUACUAAUAACCGACAUAAAACCACAUGAGCUAAAUGUGGAGUCCGAUGUAUACGCCCCAUCGAGAGGACCCAAUAUACCUUGCCAGAGGUAUAGAGGCAUGCUGGCGUGAUCACUAAACUGAUGUUGCCCAAAGAGGGUAUUUACACCUACGUGGCUCGUAGUUCUGGGACUAUAUGGGUACGCUGAAACCCUAGUCCAACUCGGUAUUAUGCUACUCCCAAUGAAUUAAGUAGUUAACUGGUUAUGACUGAAUUUCUGUAAAUACUGGAUAGCUCGAACUGAACAUGCAAACUGAGAAUGCAACAAUUAAUCUGAUAAUGAUGCAUUAAUAACUGAGGCAUGUAUAACUAAAUANNNNNNNNNNNNNNNNNNNNNNNNNNNNNNNNNNNNNNNNNNNNNNNNNNNNNNNNNNNNNNNNNNNNNNNNNNNNNNNNNNNNNNNNNNNNNNNNNNNNNNNNNNNNNNNNNNNNNNNNNNNNNNNNNNNNNNNNNNNNNNNNNNNNNNNNNNNNNNNNNNNNNNNNNNNNNNNNNNNNNNNNNNNNNNNNNNNNNNNNNNNNNNNNNNNNNNNNNNNNNNNNNNNNNNNNNNNNNNNNNNNNNNNNNNNNNNNNNNNNNNNNNNNNNNNNNNNNNNNNNNNNNNNNNNNNNNNNNNNNNNNNNNNNNNNNNNNNNNNNNNNNNNNNNNNNNNNNNNNNNNNNNNNNNNNNNNNNNNNNNNNNNNGUUAAAAGAAAUAGGAAAAGACCAAAAAACCCCUGAAUUAACUGUUGUCGGAAUGAUCGACGGAUUGUCUGACGGGCCGUCAAUCAAUCGACGGACCGUCGAUUGGGUCCGUAGGUCGAGUCUGCCUGAUUGGGCUUCACUAAAACGAGCAUAACUUUUUACUUGGAGGUCGGAAUUCAGCAAACUCGGUGGUGUUGGAAAGAUGAUUCAAUUAUCUAUCAUAUUGUAGGUCAUAGGACAAACAAUUCCUUUUGUGCUAAAAGUUAUGACCAUCUGAAGUUGACCCAUCAAUAAUUUUCAGCUAACUGGCUGUUGACCCUAACUUACGGUCAGACCUACGGACAGUGGAUCGAUUGACGGUCCGUGCUGGUCGAUCGUAGUUUGUGUCAGAGACUAGGUAAAUAAGGUCUCGAUCCAUGGACACAGACCACGGACCGUGGUCUGACCUACGGACCGUGAGUCUGUCAGUGGGUCGAGACUUAGCUGAUUUUUCUGAGCUUGGCUGGGGAGGGGUUGCAGUGGUGAACCACGGACCACCAGCACGGGCCGUGGUCUGACCUAUGGUCCGUGGAUGGCAACCGUGGGUUGCACUUGUAACUUCUCAAAAUCUGCAUUUUUGGUCUGUUUCGAAUACGGGAUGUUACAGGUGUGAGGACGAACUAGUCCAACACUAUGAAUAAUCUUACAUACCUGAAACGCUUUAAAUUCUUGAGAAUUUUUGAAGAAAAUUACACCAAUAACUUGUAUUUGAAACUCAGAGGUAGAUUUUCUUGAAAAUCUAUAUAUGGAUUCCAUGAGUAAAAAGGUGUUAAUUGGUGUUAAGAUGAAGAAAUUAUGAAAUAUUAUGGUCAAAUCUUACUUUGGAUGAUGGAUGAACCUUGGAGGAUGGUAGUUUCUUUAAAACUUCUCUUUCUAGGAAAUGUAUGAACUAGGGAGUUGAACUACAUCUUUGUGGGGUUUAUAGAAAACCACAAAGUGCGCGCCCAUACAAAAAAAAUGACCUAGCGUGCAGCCAACCACCCAUGAAGGCAGUAGCUGCUACCUCAGUCUCUCCCUGGCGCGCAAUAAGAAACUAGUAAAACGGGAAUAACUUUUUAGUCUGAACUUCAAUUGAUGCAAACUUAAUUGUGUUGAAAAGAAGACUCAAAUGCCUUUUAAUUUGAUAGGUUAUGUUCCACCUAACUCUUAAUAUUCUAAGAGAUAUGAUCGUUUGAUUUUGACCCAAGUAGAAUCAUAAAUCAAAACUUAAUCGGUAAGAAAACUUUCAACUCAACUUUGUGCUAGGAGAUUCUUGCGACCUAAAUUUAUCUCCAAAUUUACUCACACGCUAAAGAAUUGUCUUAACAACUAAUCACAAUUUACAAAUUACCUAAUUAUCCGUAAAUAAAGAAUGGUUCGGAUCUUAACUUAAAUAGUUUUGGGGUGUUAUAUAGAUAUCAUAAUAUACUGAAAAAUAAUCAAGUAAAAAAGUCAACAAAAGAUGAGCAUACUGAACUUCUCCUGAAUCUAAGCAUACCAAAAAUAAUCAAACAAUAACCUAGUCGAACCAUAUAAGCCCGACAGGUUCAAACAACAAACAAGACCACCUAUUUGAGCCCCCAUAAACCCAAAAGAUGUCAAUUCAGUCUAUAUAACCCUAUCAGUUGUUGUCACGAUUCGAGUCUAUACCCAGUUGAGAGACGGUACUCAGAACCAUGAGUGGUCUCAAGCUCAUCCUUGGCAUAACAUAUCAAAGCAUAAUAUAAAGAAACUAAGUGAAAGCCGAAAUAAAUAACUAAAUAAUAGAGUUUAGAAAUCCAUGAAUGUACAUUUUUAUUGUCUAAAAUACACCUCUAAUUGAACAGACAUGGUCCCAGCUAUCUCAAAACCAAAGACAGUAUGAAGGAAAAUCUAGUGACCUAAACUAAUGGAGUUCAUAAAUGAGGAGGGCUCAUCAAGUGCUAACUGGAAAUUCUGAAACCUUACUAGCCACGAGUCUGAGUAUGAGAGUCAGAAUUUACAUCAUAAAAGGAUGCAAUGCAGAGAAUAAUAUGCGUCAGUAUCUGAAAUGUACUGAGUAAGCAAGGGACACCAACAUAAUUAUUUAGAAUGACAUAAACAAGGACAUUGAAAUAAAAUUUCCAAGAUCAUAUGUAUACUAAAAGUGUUGAAAAGAAAACAGUUGGAGUCCAUGACCAAGUAUCAUAAAAAUAUCUUUUCAAAAGUGCAUAUACAUAUUUUAGUCUUUUUAGUAGUAUUGAAUAAUCAUAUACAUAAAAUAGCAUACUUAAAAUGAACCAUGUAGACUUAAAAGCAUAUCAUAAAAUGCAUAAUUAUCAUUUUCUUAUAACCGACAUACGUCAUUUGAGCUCAUGACACCCAACUUAUAAUUUAGUUGGAUGGGGUGUCCUAUACUUUAUCGGGGUAUAGAACCUUAUCUUAUAUUAUUUGGAUCCACUAACAUGAGCCACAAAAGGCUAAAGGUCAACCGUCAAAGUGGUGAAACAUAACCCUACAUUGGCGCGUAGUUAUGGGACUUGAGUUUUUAAAACUCACAUCCUCUCAAUACUAAAUAGUCCUCCUAAAACAACAUGUAUUCAUAUAAUUCUCAUAGGUAUAUAAAACUUUUAUCAUUUAUAUCACAUAUGAGGCUAAGCUCAAAAGUCAUACCUUAAAAUAACUUGUAUUUAGGUUGUAAUCAUGAAAACUAUAUCUAAAAUCUUAUUGUGAUCUGAUCAUUGAUGACUUGGGAAGUCAUACUGCACAAACAUUGAUGCCAUACUACUUAAACAUUUAGGCGAAGCAUCAGUCAAACUACAUACCAAUGAAAUACUACUCUAUUACCAAACAUUGUGCUCUGAUUACCAAGUUUGUCACGACCUAGGGGUACCCCCUAGGUGUAACAUGGCGUACUAGACCCCGAAGGGGUCUCAUACAAGCCCUUAGCAUAAUCAUAAACAUAGGUCAUAGAAAUCAUGCGGAAUUUAAAAUUUUUACAAUCGAAGUCUUUUGAUUUGUCUCAAAAAUAGGAUUCUAACAUUAUCUCAAUGAACCAUCUAUUACAAUAGAAUUUCAAUAAGGGCAUAGCCCUUUACAAUAAAGUCUCUAAGUAGAACAUACGAAAGGAAACUAGAAAUGAAUAAUGUCUUGUCCUCGAACUAUGAGGACUCACCAAGCUUGGAGAAUAGUCAACCCAAGCUUUACUUGAAAGGAGAAGUAUACCUCAACGACCGGAACCUACACUUAUAAGAAAAUGUAGAAAAUAUGGGUUAGCACAAAUAUUGUACAAAGUAUGGACGACAUGCAUAAAAAUCCUUCAAACAUGCUUAAAAGAUACAUUUAGUUCAAACCAUGUAUUUAUCAAGUUUAAAAGCCAUCAUGCACAUUUGUGAAGAAACAUAAGUCAAACCAUAUCAUAAGCAACCCAAAGCAAUACUAGUGCAAUGCAAAGGCAAGAUCCCAUAACCCUACCAAUUGCCAAGUACCACUUUUAGAUCACCAACAUCAUACAUAUCUUACCUUGACCUCAUAAUUAGCCAACAUUCAUAGACAAUGAAAUAUUCAUAUUCAUAACUUGUAGCAAGUAAAGUCAUCCUUAACCACAAUACAUAUCAUACAUGCAUAAUUCAUAAGUCUUCAUAGCAUAAGAAAAUCUUACCAUAACCACUCUUGAGGCCUAUUUGUGCAAUGCACAAAUGGAGUCCCAUACCCCCAAUCAUACUAAGUAGUACCUCUUAAGAAGUCAUAGUUAUAGUUCAUGUUCUUGUCAUAUUCAUGUUCUUAUCAUAUAGGGAAAUAUAACCUUAACCGACAUAGACCAUGUGAGCUACAUGGAAUCCGGUGUCUUACCCCCACACCGAAAAGAGGUAUCCUACUUGCCUAAGGUAGAACUAACACAUUAGAUUUUAGGUGGAUCCACUAUCUAAAGACCUAUGUGGGCACAUAGUUAUGGGAAAAGGAGAUUGCUACAAGAAACUCAAACUUUCUAGAGUAAAAUGUUUCCAUCUCUUGAGAUAACUUACAUUGGGAAGCCGGACUUUCUAACGUAAAGCUUUCACCUCAUAUUCAUAUCCACUCGGUGCUAAACAUAAUUCCCUUUAGAAUUCAUAUUAAGUCUUUACUUAAGUUCAUGUUCAUGAAAAAUGCACUAGGCACUCAAACCAACAUAGCAUCUUAAUAGCUCAUAGACUCAUUAGGUGAGAAUGUCCUUUCAACCUUAGAAUCAUCAAUAUGUGAGUAAACCUUUGUCACGACCAGAGCCUACACCCUGGAAGCGACACGGCGUACUUGACCCCGAAGGGGUCUCAUACCAGCCUUAUAGCAUAAUCAUUGCAUAAGAUACUUAGAAAUAGUGCGGAAUUUAAAACUUUUCUUUUAUAAGUCCAACAAUCGAAAUCAUUAAAAACAAGCGGCAGUCUAUCGUCUCACAUGGCCAUCUAAACAAUAUCUUUGAACAAAUAGGGUCACGGCCCAUUACAAUAAAAAAAACCUUAACAAAGUCUAUUACAUGAAAGAAAGGAAACAUCUAAACACUUGUCCUCAAUCUAUGAGGACAUACCACUUAGUCUUGGAGAAUCUCAAAUCCAAGCUUAAACUAGAGAGAAUCACUCAAUUGUUGGAACCUACACUUGUAGUAAAACAUGAAGAAGAAUGGGUUAGCACAAUUAAGUACUAAGUAUGAUAGCUAUGCAAAAACAUGCUUAAAACAAACAUUUUAUUUGAAAGCCAUGGUAUAUGCCAUUUUGAUAAAACUUCAUGAACAUAAGCAUAAGAGGCAUAAUAUUCAACCAUAACCAACAUGUCAUUUAACCACAUUAGAACAUAAUCACAUAUAACCAUUACUUACCGGUGCCUUCAUCCGGAUUAGCUCCUUUGUCCUUGUUAGCUUGAAGCACAUAGAAACGAUUUCUCUUUGGAGCAUUAGGAUAUGGUCCUUCAAGAGAAGCUUUCUUGGUCUCUCUUCCUUUUUCCAUGAGUGUUGGGCAAUAUAUCAUCUUAUGACCCUUCUUUCCACACCCAAAGCACCGAUCCGUGCCGGCAAGGCACUUACCCAAAUGUUGCUUCCCACAUUUGGCACAUAUAGGUCUCUCAAAAGAAGAACCACUUCCAUUCCCUCCUUGAGAUUUAGGGUUAUACACCCUAUCAUUGUUGACCAUAGGAGAAUCUUGGUUGUAAAAUCUCUUUUUGGACCUUGGUUGACUUUGUUCAUCGGACCUAGACCUCUUCAUCUCUCUACUCUUCCUUUCAAGUUUGGACUCCUUAAUGGAUUGAGCAUACACGAUAAGUCUAGAAAUGUUCAUAUCAUCAUGAAGCAUUGUCGUACGACACUUUUCCUUAACUAGGUCAGAUACACCGGUCACAAUCGACUCAUCUCAUCCCUAGGGUUGGACACCAAAGAUGGAGCACACUUAGACAAUAGGGUAAAUUUCAAGGAAUACUCCUCCACAGUCAUGCUACCUUGUCUAAGGUUGAUAAACUCCUCCACCUUACAUUCACUCUUCUCACGGGGAAACUACCUACCAAGGAAAGCUUCCUUAAGCUCCUUCCAAUCUAUAGGACCUGCCCUUAUAGGCCUAUUGCUUUUCCAUUGAGUGAACAAAACUUGAGCAACAUCUUUCAAUUGGUAGGAGGCAAGUUUCACUUUUUUCUCUAGAAGUCACCCCCAUAGCAUUGACUAUCUUAUACACCUCAUCCAAAAACUCUAGGGGAUCCUCUCCCACCUUAGAACCUAGGAACACCAGAGGAUUCAUCCUCACAAAGUCCCUCAACCUAGAAGCCAUAGUGCUCUCAAUAGCAUACACUCUAGGCCCCAUAUCUCUAUUAACUUGGGCCGUCAUAGCUUGGGCUAAGGUUAGAAAAGCCGACCUAAUCUCUUCAUUAGUCAUAUCCGAAGCAUCAACAGAAACUUGAUUGCUUUGAGGAACUUGGCCACCUUGAGGACCUUGGGGAGGAACUCCCUCAUUCACAUUCUCCUCUUCCAAUCUCCUUGCGGGCGUCCUUCUUGUAUUCAUAUCCUAUAAACUCAAGAGAAGGAUUAGGAAAAGGACACUUAAAGAGCUAAACCCUAAGGCACGACUUCAAGAAUAUGAAAGAAGAGUAACUCCCUAACGUCAAUAGCCUCUCGCUCAUAGAUGUGUCGCGAGUCACACCGAUGAACAAGACUCUACUAGAUGUGGCUUGUGAGACAUAAAUCCUAAAAACCAUUCCCAAAACCUUGUGCUCUGAUACCAUGAUUGUCAAGACCUGAUCCUACACCCCGAAAGUGAAAUGGCGUACUUGACCCCGAAGGGGUCUCAUACAAGCCUCAUAGUAUAAUAAUUGCAUAAAAUACAUAGAAAUAGUGCGAAAUUUAAAACUUUUCUUUUAUAAAUCCAACCAUCGAAAUCAUUAAAAGCAAGCGGAAGUCUAUAGUCUCAUAUGGCCAUUUAAACAAUAUCUUUAAACAAAUAGGGUCACGGCCCUUUAUAAUCGAAAACCUUAACAAAGUCUAUUACAUGAAAGAAAGGAAAUAUCUAAACACUUGUCCUCGAUCUAUGAGGAUAUACCACUUAGUCUUGGAGAAUCUCAAAUCCAAGCUUCAACUAGAGAGAAUCACUCAAUUGCCGGAACCUACACAUGUAGUAAAACAUGAAGAAGAAUGGGUUAGCACAAUUAAGUACUAAGUAUGAUAGUCAUGCAAAAACAUGCUUUAAACAGACAUUUUAUUUGAAAGUCAUGGUAUAUGCCAUUUUGAUAAAACUUCAUUAAUAUAAGCAUAAGGGGCAUAAUAUUCAACCAUAACCAACAUGUCAUUUAACCACAUUAGAACAUAAUCACAUAUAAACCAUUACCUCACAUUAAGCCUUCACCUCAAGUAACCCUCAAGCUAUACUUUGUGCAAUGUAUGGAUAAUGUACAAUACCACCAUCCACACCAAACUACCACCUUAAGGUCACCAAAAGUGAAUUUAUCAUUCAAACUUUCCAUCCUUACACAAUACUCAUACAUAAGAGACAUAAACAUUACAUAAUCCAUAUCAUCACAUAAGGACCAUCACCUAUGACAACCCUAAGUCAUACUUGUGCAAUGUGCAUUAGCAUCCCAUACUACUACACACACUAAGUACUCCUUUGAAGUCACCAUAGGCAAGGAAAAUUCAUACACCUUAAGUCAUAACAAGGAAGUAACUCAUAAUACAAUCCAAGUAUAACAUGCAUCAUCUCAUUCAAGCACAAGCCAUAUUCUUCAUUAGCUUUAUUUCAUUAAGAGUACUUUUAUUCAUUUAGACACUAGAUCAACAUUCUUAAUUAACAUCAUCAUAAGAGCACAUUCAUUACACUUAACAUUAUAAAGGAACACACCACAACCUCUCUCAAAGCCUACUUGUGCAGUGCAUGGAUCGCAUCCCAUACUACCACCCACACUAAGUUGUGCAUUCUUGAAAAGCCAUAGUUCAUUAACAUUCUUUGUGAGGGUAAGUCUUAACCAACAUAGACCAUGUGAGAAAUUCAUGGAAUCCCGGUGUCACCUUCACAAGAUAAGGGAUUCCUACUUGCCUAAGGUAGGACCACUAUUUUUAGCUUAAGUAGAUCCACUAGCUAGACCUCUGUGGGCACAUAGUUUAUAGGAUAGGGAGAUUCCUACUAGAUACCCCACCUCAAUUCACGUAUGAGUAUCCAUCUCAAUCCAUAUCCACUCGGUGCUUAGCAUUAUACCCCACGGAGUACUUAACAUUAUUACAUUCGUUCAUUAUGAGAUAAGAGAUUGUUACUUGAUACCCCACCUCAACUCGCGAUUGAGUAUCCAUCUCUAACCCAACAUUCAUUAAAAUGGGAUAUAGGGAUUGUACUAGAUACCCUGCCUCAACACACGUGAGGGCAUCCAUCCCAUCCCAACAUUCAUUCAUUAGAAAGCUUAUAGAUUCAAAGAUGAGGAUAUCCUUUCACCUAGGAAUCCCAUAUUAUGAGAAAGUCCUUUCACAACAUGUCAUUAUCAUUCAUUAGAGUACAAUUGAGAAUAACCCUUUCAAACUCAACCCAUCAUCAUUAACAUAAUCAUAGAACUUCAUUCAUUAGUCAUUCAUAAGUGUGUGUGUAUGUGAGAAUCACCUUUCACAUAUAGCCUCAUCAUUCAUAGGUGUUAAUUGAGAAAUAACAUUCAAUCAUAACACAAUUACAUUCUAAACAUGAUCAUAAUACUUUCAUUGAGAUCACACAUAUAUACUUCAUAUCAUAAUCAUACAUAAGCUUUCAUGAAAUUUCCCCUUAGGGCUAUGAACCAACAUCAACCCAUAAAUCUAAGAUACUACAAUAGAUAAGGAAGUUGACAUUAUUCCAUAACUAAUCCAAUAUAAACAUCAACAAUUCAACAUACUUGCAUAAUCAACCAAUUCCCAAUCUCAAUUAACCAUUUAAGAAUUUGGGGGAAAAUAUGGGUUCUAGGAAGAAAUCAUCUUAAUUCAUCUUUAAAACCACUACCCAUUCAUAAUUCAAUGCAAUAAAUCCUUUGAAAAUCGUUUGGAAUCGAAUUCAUGCCAAGAUUGAAAACUAGGUUUUUGAGAAAACACUGGAGACUUGUAAUCACUUUUGAGAUUGGCUCCUUGACAGAAACUAAGUCAAGGAUGAAGACUACCAUACCUUUAAUGGAAGAAAUCCACAAAAAUCCCUUGAAAAACUUGAAGUCUUGACCUUUGAAGAUUGAAUUCUUCACCUCCACACCUCCAAUGGAGGUUUCUAUAGAGAGAACUUUUGGAGAGGAGGAGAGGUUUGUAUUUUGGGUUUUGAAAUAAUGAAGUCUAAAAUAUGGUUUUAAUACUUUAAAAACCCUUAAAAUACCAUAAAUAACUAAUAAAAUCGUCCCCCAACCAAACUAUACUUAAAAGCAAUUUACCAAUUAGCCCUCACCUUGGCUGACUUGGAUAGAAAAUUGGUGCCAACCACGAAACCCCCAUCCACUAAUCGUGGAUGGGACCACGAGCCAUCCUGUUCCCUAGUGGUUUGUGGCUGUGGCUUGGUUUUGGGGGCAUUGACCUACGGAGGCCAUCCACGGGGAGUGGAUGGAGCUACGGGGUGUGGUCCCCUUCCGUAGGUCACCCUCAAAUUGGCAACUUUUUGGUUUCAAGGGGUCUUGGGGGUUAGGCUUUAGGGUCCUCCUCAAGGACCCCUAGGGUGAUCCUUGGGGAGUCAUACCUUGAUGUUUAACCCCUCAACCAUAGCUCAGGACAACAUUUUUACACGCUCAAGCCUCACAACAACUCAAAUACACACUAGUUAGGCUCUAGUUUCACUUAUUCGUUUUACGGGUCGUUACAACCUUUCACAUCAUAUUCAUAGUGUGUUCAUGAGAAUAGCCUUUCAAUCAACAUAACAACAUUAUCAUAUUCAUAGAUAUCUCAUACAUAGUCAUAUGUAAGGGUAUGGGGAGAAUGAUCUUGCAACCAUACCAUAAUUACACAAUAGUCAUAAGAUCUUCACUAUCUAAGUGAAUCAUAAGCUCAUACACAAUUCUCAUCAACAUGUACAACCCACAUAAUUUUCCCUACAAGGGUUAUGUAUUUUGAUUCAUCAAUAUCUCUAGAAUUACUUCAUUGCAUAUGUAUAAUAAUCUAAUCUAAGUAAUCAAUCCAUCACAUUCAUAGUUCAAACACAAUCUACUAACAGAGACCCAUAUUUAUGCUUCAAGAUGCAAUUUAGGAAAACCUAGAAAUUCAUGGAUUUGUAGACAAUUGCUUAGGAAAAUAGUAGUAAUUCAUCAAAUUGAUCACAAUAUAAGACAAUAACUACAUUGUAAUCGUUUUGAAAGUGAAUCCAUGCCAUAGAUUGAAAACCCUAGGUUUUGGAGAAUUUCAACUUUGAGAAAUAGAGUUUUGAAGGGCUUUAUGGAAGGAAACUAUCCAUAAAUCAAGACUACCAUACCUUGCUUUAGGAAUCUCCAAGAUAUUUGAGGAAUAACGUUGAAUUCGCCCGAACCCUAGCUUCAAUCUAUUCUUCUUCUUCUUUGGGUUUUAGAGAGAGAAUAUUUGUGAGAAAGAUGAAGUUUUAGUUUGAUUUGGGUGUUUGUGAAUAAUGACUUAGACUAGGGGGAUUUUGACUUAAAAACAACUUAUAUAGUACCCCUAAAAAUACCCAAAACAACCCCACUUUAAUUGGACUAAAAAGGAAAUUACUUAAUUAACCUUCAUUAAUUGAAUCCGUCCAGGUGUUACCAGCCACCUUCACGAGCUGUGGUGAGGACCACGACCCGUGGUCCUGCUCGUGAAGUUGGGGCAGUGGCUUGGCAAUUGGUGCCACAAUCUCACAAGCCUAAGUCACAUUCACGAAGGGCUCCAUGAGCCAUGGUCCAUUCCGUGAAGUUGAGAUAGUAGCUAGGCUACUUUAAGCCUCUAGCCACCAUGCCCAAGUCAUCUUCACGAAGGGAUCCACGAGCCGUGGUCAAGACCAUGCUUCGGUCCAUUUGGUGAAGUUGAGGCAGUGGCUAGGAUUUUUGGUAGCCAUUUUUCCAUGGCCAAGGAAGGUUCAUGAGCCCCCUUCACGACCCGUGGUAAGGAUCAUGGUCCGUGGUCCCUCUCGUGAAGGGUGAGGCAGUGUGCUCAAGCUAGGGGCGGCCUUCGCAUUUGGCCUUGGCUUGGCCCCUUUGCCUUGGCAUUUGCCCCUUGGCCUUGACCCUUAUAACCCCUAUUUCAACUCUAGAAAGUCUUCUAAUCUACGGGGAGUCAUUUUAUGAUUUUCAUUCUUACGUUUAGGCUCUAGUUUGACCUACUAUUUUUCAGAGUGUUACAAUGCCCUCACAACAAAGAUGAUUCCAUAUUCACACACAAUUGUUCAACACUUUAUAGCUCCGGAAUCAUACAAAAAUCUCACACUCACAAAGACUAACACAUGCAUGACUUUACCUAUAGGUUUGCCCUUAUUUUCCAAUCAACAUUCGCUACAGCUCACUCAAGAUCAAAAAGGUCUAUUCAAGGCUUGUAACGGGGCUGAGUGUAAAUGUAUGGUCAUUUAGGCUUAGUGGCUGCUAUCCUCAUGAAAUGUGGUAUGAACAUCAUUUUAUUUCCUUUUCUUCAACUUUUUCACUCAUGCUCAAAAUUCACCGCAUUAUUCACUUCUAAUGGAAUACCGGACACCUCAUUUCUUUUGCAACUUUCACAACUUUUUUCUUCGUUUUCUUUUUCUUUUCUUUUCUUUCUCUUUUUUUUUUUUUGUAUGGAGGGGUUCCAUCUUUUUCAAGUCCAUGGAUUAAGGGGGAAUUCUUCACACUUCUUGAUUUUCCUCCUCUUUUCACCACACCCCCAACUUAGGCUUUUGGCCUAAGUUGGCUAUUCAAACAUAUCACACUUCAUGAGGAUUAUGGGUGAAUGGAUAAAGAGGGGUUACAAUUGCAUCAAGUUUCUUCCAAGAAAAGGAUAAGACUCAAAGGGGUUCAACAAAGUUCACACACUCACAAGGUUGGCCACAAAAGAGGUAUAUUGUCAAAUUGUUUCACUCUUCAAAUUGGUUGCCUAAGAUCAUUUCAAGAGCUUGCAUCACUUAGUCAACCGGACCAACGGGGCAAAUUCUAGGUGUCAUCCCACAUGGUUCAUGUAAGCUCAUCACACAAGACCUUGGCAUCAAUAUCAAACAAGACUCCACACUUUUGCGAGUGUGCAAUGUUCAUCACAAGAAACUCUAUUCGAUAACCGGAUAGUCACAAUGAGAUGCAAAAAGUUCACAUAUUGUCUAUGCAACUUCAUUGGCCACAUAAUAGCUGGACAUUCAUUUUUGUUCGAUUAAGAGCACUAUUCAAGUCAUCGGUAUUAAUCAUAACCGAUACUCAAAUUUGAACAAGAACAACCACAAUCACUCACAAGAGGUGGCAACAUUUUUUAGAAGGGUCAAAAACCAUUUGCAUUCAUAAUGAGAAGCCACAAGCUCAAACAUCCACAAGGCAAUGCCAAAACACAAUUUAAACAAAAAACCCAAUGUAUAUACACAAGAUAGUCACAAGAGGUAGGUAUGGAAAUACCUCACCCCACCACAAAUAAAAAAGCGCAGUUGUCCUCAAAUGCAACAAAAUGAUAAAAAGUCAAUAAAAAUGACAGAGCGGGAGGUAAAGAAAGGUCCUGUCUACACAGUCGCUCCAUCUGUCGGGGCAUCAGUGCUCGGGGUAACAUCAACAGUACCAACUCCACUAGACUCAACCAUGGUGGUGUCUCUCAAGGAGGCUGGCGGGCAGUCUCAAACAUCGCAUCCUCUAGGUCUGCCAGAUCAUCAUAUACGACAACAUCUUGCUCCCCAAGCUUCUCUUUAUCGAUCUCCGCCUUUGAUGCGUCAGCUGCCACAUCCUCCAUAGGUACAUCUCGGUGGUAGCCAGAGGAAUCUCAGAACUGCCCGGGACACCCUCAGUAUCAGCUGCCUCAAAUAAAGAAGUGAAUUAUAUAUACUUUAGAUAGUCCAUAUCCUUCCUCAAGUCUACAGCCUCAUCUUUCAAAGCCGUCAUCUCUGAAGUAGCCUCCUGUCGACUCUCAUAAGUCUCUACUCUCACCGUGACAGCAUUAAUAGAAGUCUGGAGGGGUGUCAAUGCAGCUAGGAUGACACUCUCAAUCAUCCAAGCUAUCGCAGCCUCCAGCCGGGUAGCCCGCACAUCGGCAGAAUGGGCUAAGUGCCCCAUCUUCAGAAUCAUGGCUUGAGUAAUCCUGGUAGGCUGGGAAGCAGAAGAUGAACCAAGAACCUGGGAGGAAAUCGAAGCGGGAGUACCUGAAGGCCCGGAGGCCGGAGUAGGUAAAUAUGCCUCUAUAGGUAUCGUGUCCAUAUCAACCUUCGGGGAUGUCUCUACCGAAGCCGCUGUCCUCCUGUCUGCCUCUUCCUGAGUGUACUCGUGCUCUAUGCACCGGAUGUCUGUGGAGGAUGAAGGGAUGAUCUCGAUGUCCCUCUUCUCAUCAUAAGGAACUCCCGCACGCCAACACAACUCUAUAAUCAGGACCGAGAAUGGAAGGGACAUCUGGUGCUGCUUGGCCCUCAUGGCCAUCUUCCGCUCAAUGAUAAGUCCCAAGUCAAUGCUCUUCUGGGCUAUAAUUGACCCAAGGCAGGCCGUCUUUGGAUGGCAGAGGAUGGACUCAUUCUGUGAAGGCAUAAUAGAGAUAUUGAUGAAUCUGAACCAGUACUGUGCAGCGAUAUUCAAGUCCUUCUUCUCGAUCUGGACUUCUGCCUCAAUCCACCUCGGGGUGGUGUCAAAAAUAAGAGGGGCAAAGCUAGCCCUUGAGAUCAUCCAAAGGUGUCGUAGUGCUGGCCAAAUUUGGGUAAUAAAAAACUGACCCUCUAUCAAAUAUUACGUUGAUGUGAUCGCGACUGCAGCUCACUAUUGUCCCUCGUACCAUGAUGGACUCUAUCAGUCUGAAAGUACUGGCCUUCUUCUUGCCCUUAGGUACCAGGUCAUCGUAUGCUGAGUAAAACUCCCGAACCCAUGUAGGGAUGUAUGGGCCUCGAAACCUGGUAGACUUCUCGAAGUGAUGGUACUAGAGUGUCUCCUUCACCUUGGAAUAUCUGCCCUCUAGGCCCUCUGUGGACAACAGCUUCUCCUCUAGAAUUUUUCUCAGUCCCUCGGCCUUUAAUCUGUUGAGUAGUCGGGGAGGAGGAACCUGAACUGGUGGUGCUGGAACCACUGUCUGUGCCAAAGCUGGCACUGUAUCUGCAGGAGGAGGUGUGGCCUGUGGAACUCUAAAUGAAUUUUGGUGAGAUCGUGCACGGAUUAUUGCUCGCCGGGACUUAAGUGGCUGGUCAUCCUCUGGCUCUGAGAAAGAGGGCUGCAAAUGAGCGGACUCCCCAUCACUACCGAAGUGGUGCUCUGGUCUUUCUGCCUCGUGCACUUUGCCCUUGCCUUUUCCUCCCUUGGGAGGUGUUGUCUUUCCCUUCUUAGGAGGGUUAGUUGCCCCCUCAUUAAGCGAUAUACCCCGUGCUGUUUUGUGGGGUGACAUAUUAAUGUUCAUUCUAGCCAUAUCUGCAACACACAUUAGAAAAUGUUAGAAACAGUUCAAGAAAAAUUCAGAAAAUAUGUUGCAGACAGACUCGCUGAACCAUUCGGCGAGUCGUCGAGUCACUUAGGCUAGCCAGAUCAGGCUCGCCGAAAGGACUAGCUCAAAAAAUUUCCAGAAAAAUGGCAUGUUGGCGAUGAGAAGGACCUUUCGGUGAAUCGCUGACCUCAUUCGGCGAGCACAGAACAGCCCACCGAAAGUUACAGUGUAUUUUAGGGGUUAGGGGCACAGAAAGGGUGAUCAAAGAAGACGUUCGACGAGUCACCGAGUGCACUCGGCGAACUCAGGCUUCUCGCCGAAAGUUACAGAACCUAACUCAACAAAAGCAUGAAAUUAAAGGCGAUCUGUGGGGACUUUGGCGAACUGUCAAGUGGUUCGAGGAGCUCGACCCAGCUCACCAAACUGCUAACUUCCAAAAUAAACCCCAUAGCCCCCAAAAAUAAAAUCAAACCAUACAUAUUCUCAAUUAAGCAUAGACCCAUUAGACCCAUGCCACCGAGGUACUCAGACUUCCCCCGGUUUUGCCAAAAUUGGCCAUUUGAUGACUUUAGCACUUAAGAAUGACGUCAAAUGCUCCAUCAUUGGGCAAACCAUGACAUUUAGCACAAAUUGGGUUACUCAGUCUUUACCCAACUACACUCAACAAUAAAAUAGCACAACCCAACAAUUUAUGAUCAAUUUUACAGCACGAAAUUAGGGAAAUUAACAACAUAGGCAAUUAAGGCAUGAUAUUGAAAUUAAAAUAGGCACACAAGCACACAUUUACGAAUUCAGAGAGGCCCAACACACAUCAAUAAGAACUACGUAAUUGCAAAUGAGUUUAACUGCUAUUUACGAGUUUAGGAUUUGGAAAACCAACGUUUAAUGCCGAAUAUAUGAAUCUGUAAAGCUAGGAGGCAAAGAAUUUCACUCCAAACAAGAGAAUGACGAUAAAAAAGCAAGAAAAUGCAAAAAUAAAGGAAAUUUGAAGUGCAGGUGUGAUUGUAUGAAGCUAAAAAGUGAGGGAAUGUGAAGGAGUUUGAAAGUUUAAACAUUUGGCCUUUUCAAGCCGUUCAGUUCGCGCCUUUUCGGUGAUAUUAUUUUUCCUCGUUGAACCACUCAGCGACACACCGAAUAAGUACUUACAUCGCCGAGUUUUAUAGGACCUCCAGUUAAUUUGGGAGUCCAAACGGUGGACAAAUUCGGGCUCGCCAACCUGUUCGGCGAGUCGCCGAUUUGUCCAUGGGCCCGUCGAGUUUUACAAACUCCAUCUUCAUAAAUUCUUGAGUCCAACAGUGGUCCAAGUCGGGCUCGCCGACCUCUUCGGUGAGUCACCGACUAGACAUUUUGCUCGCCAACCUGCACUUUUCAACCCCAUUCUACAUUUUAACCUGCAUAAUCAACACAUAUUUCUUCAAAAAUGGAAAAAAAGCAAAUAAAAACUUGGGUUGCCUCCUAAGCAAUGCUUUAGUUAAAGUCGUGGCACGACGCAAGUCCUCGCUCAAACUUCAUUCUUGGGGUUUGCCAUAGUAUCACUAAGCAACCCCCCUUGUUGUCUCGGGUUUAAAUAAGAAGAUAUUUGAUCCAUUUUGGUCUCGAAUUGAUCGAUACAUCUUCCUUCAUCUCAUUCAAAAUUUUAUCGAACCCUUCAACCUUGUUGAGAAUACGAGAGAGCAUAUCCUCAGACUGGCCACCCUCAAAAUCUUUGGACUUUUGAUGCUCGUAGAGAGAAGCAUACCUAUCAUUCUCCCUAUCUCUUUCCUUCCAAGUGGCAUUCUGAUCCUGCUACUCUCUAUCACUAUCUCUCCAGUCCUUAUCUUUAUUCCAACCUUGGUUGCCACCCGGCCAUGGGUAGUUAGCACGAUAACCUUCACCUUGGUUGGCUAUGAAGUUCACUUCCUCAUUGUACAGUGCUUCGAAUUUGGCCUAUUCGGGAUUUGCACAAUCCACACCCACAACAUUGACACUCCUAGCACCAGCUCUCAUGACAUUUUUGGCCAAAAUGUCAAAUUGGCUCAUAAUCUUUACCAUUUUUUGGUCCCUCUCUUGAUCUUUCUCAAGCUGCUCAUUUGUCAAUUUAAAAGUGAGAGGGGAGAUCUGAUCUUCACGGGUGUACCAUGCCCGGUUAAUUUUGGUCAUACCAUCCAAGAGUUGGGCUGCUAUAAUGUAAGGUUGUUGUAUCAAACCUCCAGGAGAAAGUUGAUAAGUUACUCCCUUGUUCACCGAAUCAAGGCUUUGGUAAAAGUACUACAACAAAACAUUGUCGGGCAAACCAUGAGUUGGGAAUUGCAGAUUCAACUUCUUAAAUCUUAGACAAGUCUCAUGGAUUGGCUCACCCUCCAAACUCUUGAAGCUCUGGAUGCUGUCCCUAAGUGUCAUCAUCUUCGAAGGAGGGAAAAAUCGCACUUGGAAUGCGGUGACAAACUCUUCCCACGAAGUGAUGGAGUCUCUUGGCAAUUCAGCCAACCAUUUACAUGCUUCUCCCAUUAAAGAAAAUAGGAACAACGGCAACCGUACCGACUCUUGCGAUAUGUUUUUGAAGGAGAACGGCUCAAAAACAUCAAGAAAGUUCUGUAUACGCUCAUGGGGAUCCUCAUAAGCCAACCCACCAAACAACCCUUUCAAUUGCAAGAGCUGCAACAUGGUGCUUGUAAUGUGGAACAUAGCGUUCCCUAUAACCAGAGGCAAUCGAAUGGCACCAAUUCCACCCACAAGAUUUGGGUCAUUGACAUUCGAUUCAUUGACAUCGUUUAGGUUUUCGAUGUCAUCUUGGUGUCCCACUUGGCUACCAUUGCUUCCAUUGACACUCAUUUCCUCUGGUUUAAAACAACAACACAAAAACCAAAACUAAAAAUAAGUAGAUUCAACUAAGACUAAAGUGAACAAAAUUCAACUUCACCAAAAGAAUCUCAAACAACACCAUUCACUGGCAGCGGCGCCAUUUUGAUUAAAAACGUUUCGAAGACACUUCAUCUAAUUCUAAGCGUCAACGACCGUUAAUCAAUAUAAAACCCAACCAAAUGAGUUGGGAUUGAAUCCCACUAGGAGCAGUACGUGCUUGAGAUCCAAUAGGGAAGUAUGAACAUGAUCAAAUCAGUCAUAGGAAUAAAAAUUAUUGAAUAAAGACAUCAUUCAAAUUAGGGGGUGACAAGAAUGUCAAAUGGGGGGUUUAGGUUUAGAAUUAUCAACUACAAACAGUGGCAAACAAUAUGAAAUAACAAUAAUGAGACGGGUUCUUGGGAUGUGAUUCGAUUAUAGGCUAAUAUAGACAAACGGGUAAUUGCAACUAUUAGAAAAUAGCUAGAUAUUAGUAAGUAAGCUAGGCUAUAAAGGAGAUAAACUUUCUCUCAAACAAUUUAUCUCGAAUCAAGUUGAUUUCUCUCGAACAUCAACAAGCAUGAAAAAUAAGAACAACCCACACCUUAGUCCAUUCACUCUCUCCAGCUAAAUGUGUGGGAUUGGGUUUAGGAUUCACUUUGUCAAGCUGAACCCAGGUCAACCCAAUACCCACAGACCAUCAAUCAAUAAGUUUAGUUUGAAAACCUCUCUCUUGAGCAAGCCAAAACACAAGGGUAGAACUGCAUUUGCAACUACAAUUCUUAAAUUAAACCACAAUUAAUGAUUGAACUCACUUCUAAAUAGCAUUUAAAGGAACAAUUAGCAAUACCCAUAAACUAAAUCAGCCUAUAGUCACAUAAUCACACCCCAAGAAUUUGGGUUUUAGCUAGACAUCAUAAUAAAGUAAAAACAGAUACCAAAUUGAAUAUCCAUCAACUCGGUAAGUGUAGAUUUGUCCUUACAAUGCUCCAAUUCGAAGAAUCUCAAACCCACUUCCAAUUUCUCAAAAGUGAAAAACUUCAAUUCUUCAAAACUUAGGAAAACUAGAGAAAGUUGUCUCACCAGUUCAAAAAUCAAUAAUAAACUAAAAAUAUAUGAACUUAGAUACUAAACUAAAUGUUCAAAAAUGUGCUACAAAGAGGCACUCGGUGAAGUAAGUCAGGCUUGCCGAACCACUUGGUGAGCCGCCCUUUGGUUAUUUCCAUCGCCCUUUUGCCUUGGCAUUCAGCAUCCUCAAGGUCUGUAACUUUGGGCGACCCAACACUACAAGUGGACUUGGUGAUCACCAGGCUUGCUUUUCUUCAUUGUUUCAGCUCACUUUGUUUCUUUUUGCAAAUUAGUGUCCUUGCUUUGUUCCUCAAUCCAUAUACCUAAAAUCAAGGGUUUUACAUCAGUUAUAGGCACAAAAUAAGCAUUUGAGGACACUAAAUCUAUAUAAUAAAGCCCUAAAUGAGUCCAAAUCUCAGACUCAUCAGUGUAUCUGGGAGAAGGUCAAUACCAAAGUCUAUUUCCCUUUCGGGAGGAAUACCAAACCGGGUAGAUCAUCUGAGAACACUUCUGGAAAGUUAUUUACAACGGAGACCAACUCAAGAGUAGGGGUUUCCCAAUCUAUAGGCUCAUUUGGGUUUCCCCUUCAGACUACACGGGUUCUACAAUCAAUAAAAGCAUAACAUGCAUGCAAUCAAUCCAUCCCAAGCAUGAAAUCAAAAUCUAGCAUAUCAAGCACUACGAGAUCAACACGAGUGACUCUAUGGGAUAAGGAAUGGGACAAUUUCUAUAAACUCUCUUAGCCACAAUAGAAUCACCAAUAGGAGUGGAGAUAGAAAAAAGAUCUAAUAACACAUCAUGAAGAAUAUCAAACCUUAUUGCCACAUAUUGCGUCACAAAAGACAAGGUAGCACCGGGAUCAAGUAAAGCAUAAACAUCAAGUUGGAACACUUUCAACAUACCGGUAACCAUAUCGGGCGAACCCUCUUGUUCACCAUGAGUCUGAAGUGCAUAGAAUCAGUUUUUCUUGGGAGCAUUGGAACCCGAACCACUAGGAGGAGCUUGAUUACCCUCUUUUCCUUUAACUGUAAGCAUCGGGCAAUCCCUCAUAUUACGAACACUUCUACCACAACCGAAACAACUAUCCGUGCCGGCUAAGCACUUCCCCUUGUGCUUUUUCCUACACCUAGCACAAGUAGACAUAGGCAAUGAAGAUUGAUAACGCUCAACUACACUUCAUCCAAUUCUAAGUGUAGGCGAUCACAAUCUAGUAUAAACCCAACAAAGAGUUGGGUCGAUCCCAUAGGGAGUGAUACGGUAGAGAAUUCAAUUACGAAGUAAAGGAAGUGUUCUAAUCAGUUGUAAAAGUAGACAUUAUCGAAACAAUUAAAGUAAAAUGCAGGGAUUGACAACUAGUUUCAAAUUAGGGGAUUAGAUUGAGCAAUUAACUACUACAAAAAUAGGGGAGUAAUUAAGUAGAGAGGGAUCCUUGGGAAUAUGAUCAAUUAAAUGCCAAUUUCACUAUACGGGUGGUUAUCAUUUACUAAAAUAUGUUGAAUCUUAGUGAGUAGGCUAGAUUUUAGGUGCAAUAGCCAUCUCUUGAUCAACUACCAUGAUUCAAGCGAGUUCUCUCGAACCUCGACAAGCCUAACACUAAGAACAAUCCAAAGCCUCAAUUAAUCUAUUAUCUCUAGCUAGAUUGGUAGGAUCAAAUUCAGAUUCACUUCGGCAAGUUGAAUCAACAAGGACCCAAUCAAUACAAUCAUCAAUUGAUAGUUUUAAUUCUAAACUUCUUUCUCAAGCAAACAUCAACUAUUAAGCUAGAAUUGUAUUUGUAACUACAAUUCAUCAAUUAAAACUCAGCUAUCAAUUGAACCCACUUCAAAUCAACAAUUAAAUCAGUAAACACUAACACUCAUAAGCUAAUUGAGACAAAUUAAUUACAUAAUCACACACCCAAGAAUGGGGGUUUUAGCCAAACAUUAUAAAAAGCACAAAAAUGUAACCAACUACGUUCUCCAUCAGCUAGGUAACAAAUUGCAGGUCUUCACAAUGCUAAAAAAUAGUUCAAAAUCAAAACCCAACUACAAAAUCCUACUCAAAAACUCCAAGAACAGUGUUAGGGACAAAAAACCCAAUGUAAGAACUCUCAAACACUCAGAAAGUUUGCUCAAAAUUUUGGGACUCUGAAACUCUUUUAAAAAAUUGCAUUUAUACUUUCCCAGAUUUUUAUCUUUGGAGUUGUUUGGUGGAAUUAGUCGAGCAUCUCCGAUCCUAUCGGUGAUACGCCAAAUGUCCAUGUUCAUUGCCUUCUUGACUUGAUUCUUUACCAUUCCUCUUCUUUAACUUUAGGCGAUCAGGAUCUCCAUCGUUGAUCUAGUCGGCUCUUCACCGAAAUGUCAUUUCUAUCACCAAGAUUGCUUUUUCCCAGGGCUGGCCUACUAUAACUUUCGGCGAGCUUAAGUACUGCACGGCGAGUCGCUGAGUGGUCUUGCUGAUCAUCAUCCUUUCUUGUCUUCAGCUUUUUCAGCUUUUUCGCUCCUUUUUUUCCCGGUAAUGUCCUUGCAUUGCUCUUUUGCCUUCAUAGCUGCAAAUUAGCAUUAAAACAUCAGUUUAGAUCAUAAAAUAAGCAUUGACGACACUAAAACUAUGAAUAUUAAGCCCUAAAUGAAUUGAAAUCCCAAACUCAUCAACACCCCCAACUUAAACUUUAUCUUGUCCUCAAGUAAAACACAAGAUCAAUCAAUUCAACAGAGAUGUCUACAAAUAGUGCUACUCAAGACUCAACAUGAAUGCACACAAGAGUUUCAAACUACCCAUGCAAUGUUCAAUUGUGCACUACAAGUUUCAAAAUGUGACUAGCCAUCAUGAAAAAAGAACUCAAGCUCACAAUGCUUGCAUCAAAUGCAAAUUCAAGCUCAACAAAAGUAUUUGAAUGCCCUCACACCAAGAACGAUUACAUGCUCACACAAGGCUCAUCUAAAUUUCAGAAUUAAGGAAUCAAAAACAACACUCACACUCUCAAAGACAAACACAUACAUGACUCUACCCAUAGACUUGCCCGUAUUUUCCAACCACCGUGACUUUCAACUCACUCAAGAUCACAAAGGUCGUUCAAGGCUUGUAACGGGGUUGAGGGUAAAGGUAUGAUCAUUUUGGCUUAGUGACUUCUACCUUCAUGAAGGAUGUCCUACAUUUCACUUUUUCUCCCUUUCUUUCACUCUCUUUGAGUUUUCACAAUCCACCCUAUGUUCUUUUAACCAUGACUCAUUGGACACCCCAUUUCUUUUCUCCAUUGUACAAACUUUAUUUCAGCAAUUCUUUUCUUUUUCGAUCUUUUUCUUUCGCUUUUCUUCUUCUUCUUUUAUAUAUGGAGGGGUUCCAUUUUUUUCAACACGAUUCCUCAAGGGUAAAUUUCUCAAACAUCUUGACUUUUCUCCCUUUUUUCCACACCUAGCCUAAGUUGGCUUAUUCAAAAGGACCAAUGCUUCAUGAAGAUUUUAGGUGGAAAGGGAAAAAGUCCAAAUGCGCUCAAGUUUCAUCCAAAGAAAAGGAUAGGCUCAAACGGUACCAAGCAAGGUUAACACUCUCACAAGGUGGUCACAAAGAGGUAUAAUAGCAAUUUUGGCUCACUCUUCACAAAUUGUGUCUAAGAUCAUCUCUAUCAUUCGCUUACAUUACUCAAUUGGACUAACGGGGAAAGUUCUAUGUAUUUUCACACACACAUUUCAAGAUAACCUCACCACACAUGGCAUUCAACACAAUCAUCAAACAAGACUCUGUUAUUUUAGCUCGUGUGCAAUGAUCAUCACAAGAUUCAUUUCAACAACCGGCUAGUCGCAAUGAGAUGUUAAGAGUUCACAUAUGACUUAUGAAACUCAAAUUUACCUCAUUGGAAUCACAAACACAUAUCAUUCAAUGGAGAGCACUAUUCAAGUCAUUGGCAUUUAUCACAAUCGAUACUCAAAUUUGCUAGAGAACAACCAUAUUCACAAAUAUCAAGAGGUGACAAAAUUUUUGUUUGAAUCGAAAACCAACACAUUCACAUUAAAAACCAAUGGAUCCAAAGCCAAUAGUCACAAAUAAAGUCAAGCUUUCAUAACAAGAAACAAUAUCCAUAAAAACAGCCCAAAAGAGGUAGGUAUGAAUAUACAUCACCCCACCAAACAAACCUAACAUUAUCCUCAAUUUAAAAAUAAAAGCAAAGGCCGAACUAAUAAGGAAUUAUCAUUGCUGAAAGGAGUAGGGUAAGAAAAACUCUUCACUUCAUGCCCAAUCGACGAUAGCUGCUUGAGACCGCCUAACCUUUCGGCGAACCGUCGAGCUGAAACUAGCUCGCUAAAAUUUCCAUAAUGUUGGCCCUCUAGUUGGGACAAAAUGGUGGGUUAAAUUGGGCUUGCCAAACCAUUCAGCGAACCGCCGAACAGUUUUACAUCUCGCCAAAAUUUCCAUAAUGGUGGUCCUCAAGUCCGGACCAAAAGGUGGACUCAAUCGAGCUCAUCGAACCACUCGGUGAACCGCCGAAAAGGUUCUAUCAUCGCUCAAUCGCCAGUCCCUACACAUUUAACAAACAUUAAUAAAAACCAACUAAAAGUUGGAUUGCCUCCCAAGAAGCGUCUUAUUUAAUGUCGUGGCACGGCAUGGAAAUGCUCUCAUGCAUCUUCCAAAUACACCACUUCAAUUACCGAUAUUUCUUGGCAUUCUCUAAAAUAGAGCUUCAGACACUGCCCAUUUACUUUGAAUGUUGAUCCUUCUUUACCUUCAACUUCAAUUGCCCCAUUUGUGAACACUCCAGUUACUUUAAUAGGCCAAAUCACUUCGAUUUGAGUUUACCUAGGAAAAGUCUCAAACGAGAAUUAUACAGCAAAAUAAAAUUACCUACUCGAAACUCUCGCUGAAGGAUUUUAGCGUCAUGCCACUUCUUCAUUUUCUCCUUAUAAAGGGCUGAACUUUCAUAUACCUUCAACCUGAACUCCUUCAAUUCAUGGAGUUGAUUGACUCUCCCUUUCGAAGCAUUCCCCCAAUUCAAAUUUAACUCCUUCAACACUCAUAGUUCUUUGUGUUCAAGCUCGUUUGGUAGGUGACACGACUUUUCAAAUUCCAGUUGGUAUGGCGACAUGUUGAUUGGUGUCUUAAAAGUUGUACGGUAUGCUCAAAGGGCAUUAUUCAACUUCCGAGACCAGUCAGUCCGAUUUGCAUUAACUAUUUUUGCCAGAAUACACUUGAUUUCUCAAUUUGACAGUUCAACUUGGACAUUUGUCUAUGGAUGAUAGGGCGUUGCAACUUUAUGCUUGACUCCGUAUUUGCCCAACAAUGCGGUAAACAACCGGUUGCAAGAAUGAGACCUUCCAUCAUUGAUAAUAGUACGUGGGGUCCCAAACCUUGUGAAAAUGUAUCGCUUCAAGAACUGCACCACACUCUUUCCUUCAUUAUUGGGAAAAUCUAUAGUCUCCACCCACUUUGAGACAUAAUCAACCGCUACCAAUAUAUAUUUCUUUCCGAAGGAGCUCACAAACGGUACCAUGAAGUUGAUUCCCCACACAUCAAAUAGUUCGACCUCGAGGAUGGGAUUAAGAAGCAACUCAUGCCUUCUUGAUACUCCUCCUUACUUUUGGCAUUGUAUGCAUUGUUUAAUGAAACCAAAGUAUCUUGGUAUAGUGAUGGCCAAUAGUAGCCACUUUGAAGCACUUUGGCGUUUGUUCGCACCCCGCUAUGAUGACCACCCAUAGGCAAAGCGUGGCAAGCAUUAAGAAUUGCAUUGACUUUCUUUUCUGGUACACAUCUUCGAAUUUUAUGAUUUGUGCAUCCUCUAAAUAGAUAUGGUUCAUCCCAGAAGUACCUCUUUACAUCAAACAAGAAUAUAUUUUGCUUGUAGAAGUUCAAGCCCUCGCGUAUUAUCCCACACACUACAUAGUUAUUGAAUUCAGCAUACCAAGUUGAGUUGCCUUAGGUUACCCUCAUCACUGUUUAAUCAGGAAAUUCAGCCAUAAUAUCCCUCUCAUUGGAAUCAACCAAGUUGGUUUCUAACCAAGAUAAAUGAUCUGCCACUUGGUUCUCACACCUUUUUUCGAUCCUUUACCUCAAAAUUAAACUCUUUUAACAGCAACACCCACUGAGUAACUCUUGGCUUUGCGUCUUUCUUAGCCAUCAAAUAUCUAAUGGCAACAUGAUUCGUGUGCACCACCACUUUAGUUCCCAACAAAUAUGCUCUGAAUUUCUCAAAUGCAUACACCACUGCUAGGAGUUCUUGCUCUGUGACUGUAUAAUUCUUUGAGCCACAUUCAGUGUUUUACUUUCAUAAUAAAUCGGAUGGAAUAACUUCCCUUUUUUUUUUUACCAAGAACAACCCUCAAAGCAACACCACUAGCAUCACACAUGAGUUCAAACGGGAUAUUCUAAUCUAGGGAAAUAAUGAUUGAGGCUGACACUAAUUUUUCUUUCAAGCAUAGAAUUGCUUUGAGGCAAGCGUCAUCAAAAUGGAAGGCAGAUUCCUUCUCUAGCAAUUUACAAAGAGGGUGAGCUACUUUGGAAAAAUCAUUGAUAAACCGCCUGCAGAAACCCGCAUGGCCUAGAAAAUUUUGGACACCUUUUUACUGAAAUAGGAGGAAAAAGCUUGGAAAUGACCUCGACUCUCGCUUGAUCGACUUGCAUUCCUUCUCCUGAAAUUUUAUGCCCCAGAACAAUUCCCUCCUUUACCAUGAAAUGACACUUCUCCCAAUUUAGAACUAGGUUGGUUUCCACACACCUUUGUAGUACCUACCUAGGGUGUUCAAGGGAGGCUUCAAAUGAAUCACCAACAACUGAAAAAUCAUCCAUGAAUACCUCCAUUGAGUCUUUCACCAUAUCUGUGAAAAUAAAAAGCAUACAUCGUUGGAAUGUUUCCGGAGCAUUACACAACCCAAAAGGAAUCCUCUUGAAAGCAAAAGUCCCAUAGGGACAUAUAAAAGUAGUUUUCUCUUGAUCUUCCUGUGUAAUGGAAAAAUGGCUGUAUCCAGAAUAACCAUCCAAAAAGUAGUACUAUCCAUGCCCCGCAAGCCUAUAAAGCAUUUGGUCCAUAAAUGGAAUUGGGAAAUGAUCUUUCUCGGUCCAUGAAUUUAAUGUUUGGUAGUCCAUGCAUGCUUGCCAACCGGUGACCAACCUCAUAGGUACAAGUUCCCCUUUCUCAUUUGGAACCACUGUGAUGUUUUAUUUCUUUGGUACACAUUGCACGGGACUUACCCAUUUGCUAUCUGUAAUAGGGUACACCACGACUGCAACUAACCACUUGAUGAUUUCUUUCUUCACCACUUCUUGCAUAGGCAGAUUUAGCCUUCUUUGAUGCUUAACACUUUGUCUGCAUUCACUAUCCAAUUGGAUUUUAUGAGUGCAAAUUCCAUGAGGAAUACCUACAAUAUUAUCAAUUGUCCAUCCUAUGGCCUUAAUGUAUCACUUUAAUACCUCAACAAGCAAUUUCACUUGCAACUCAAGCAAGUAUGCUGCAAUGAUGAUGGGCAAGGUAUUGUUUACUCCCAAGAAUACAUCCCGAAGAUGAGAUGGGAGCACUUUCAACUCAAGCUUUAGAGGUUCUUCCAUGGAUGGUUUAGCGGGGAGGCUAUCUCUAUUUUUCAGAUCAAUAUUGAGCUUCACUGGAUUUUUUGAAUGAGAACCUGAUCUCGAUAGAGAAGUCACAACUUCAUCAUACCCUUGAACUUCGUCCUCAUCAUAGUUUGAAAGGACAACAGCAAGGGGUUCACCAGUACACAUCAUUUCACUCACACUAGCUACUGCUUCAUCAAUCACAUAAAUUGUUGAGACCACAUGAAUGUCAUUAGGUUGAUUCAUCGAUUUGCACACAUCGAACAUAACCUCCUCAUCAUUUACCCAGAACUUUAAAUCACCACUUUCAACAUCCACAAGAAUUCUUUCGGUUGCCAAAAAUUGACUACCUAAAAUAAUAGGUACUUCGGCAUCAAUGUCACAAUCCAAAAUAACAAAGUCAGCCAGAAAUAUGAACCUAUCAACUUUCACAAAAAAAUCAUAAAGUAUGACAAUGGGAUGCUUAAUAGAUCGAUCACCCAUUAGGAGUCGCAUUGUGGUAGACUUAGGAACACUCAAUACAAGUUGUUUGUAAAUGGCGUAUGGCAUCAAGUUAAUACUAGCCCCCAAAUUACAUAAUUCUUUGGAAAAUUGGAGCAUCUGAAUAGUGCAUGGACUAGUAAACGCCCUCAGAUCAGCUUUCUUGAUAACCACAUUGCUUGUCAUUAUGGCACUAGACCUAUGAGACACUUCAACUGUUUCAAAUCCAUACUCCUCUUCUUGGUAACCAAUUCUUUCAUGAACUUUGCAUAGCCAGGCAUUUCCAACAACGCUUUUACUAAACGAAGAUUUAUUGACAGACACUUGUACACGGAUAGAAAUUUCUUGAACUUUGCAUCUUCAUCCCACUUUUUGAGUCUUUGAGGAAAUGGUGGGUUGAUUUUGGGCAACGAUUUUACUGACUUUGAAGAAGAAGUAGCCCCUUCUUUGGGUAAUUGCAGUUCCUCAGAGUUGCUUUGCCUUGGACUGCCUUCAAUCUCUUGGGGCGUGUCAUUCUCCGGUGCUUGGUCGGACCCUUCUACAUCAAUGGCGCCCUCCACUUCGCUACUAGUGUUUGCCUCAACGUUCACCUUCACAUCACCACCUUCUACUUUCCCACUCCAGGUCAAAACUGCUAAGCACCUGUCAUGAUCAGCCUUUGAAUUCAUCAUAUCAUUAUUUGCACACCUUUUUAAUGGCUUGGAGCCUAGUUGGGCUGAAAGUUGACUCAUUUGACAUUUGAGUCGCUUGAUAGAUUCCAAGUGAGAGUUUACUUUUUUAUUCAAGGAUGAGAAAUCAACCUUCAUUUUUUUAAGCAUGUCAUCAGAUCUUUUGACCUUUUCUAGGAUGCGUGAUAGAAAAUCAUUCACUCGAAGGCUUCCCGAACAUCCCCUAGAUUUUGGGUUGUCACCCAUUUGCAUGUAACAUGUAUCAUGGUAGUCUUCUCUCCUCCAAAGGUCAUUUUGGUCAGCCCAAUAUCGAUUGUAACUUCUCCGUCCAUCCUCAAUAAGUGUGUUCCAACCUUGAUUCCCACCGACAUCGAAGAGCCCGGGUAAGAACCCUCUUAUAUUCUUGACAUAUUUUGCACCUUAUUGUUUUCAGAAAUACUCCCCAUGACUUGUUCAUUUAGCAACACCAUUUUGGACAUCAUCUAGGCUAUGUUUUCAUCUCGUUCUUGGUUUUUUUUUCUACUUGCUCUUUUGUCAACCCAAAAUUCAAGGGAGACACUUGAUCUUCUCUAGUGUACCAAACACGAUUGGUAUUUGUCAUUUCAUCGAGAAGAGUGGAUACUAUAGAAUGCGGUUAUUGCAUGAUUCCUCCUCGAACAAGUAGGUCAGCCACCCCUUUGUUGACUAAGUUGAGACUCCGGUAGAAGUAUUGUAGCAACGCAUUGCUCAGGAGUCCACGAGUUGGACACUUCAGCAACAACUUCUGGAACCUCAACCAUGUUUCAUGAAUUGGUUCCCCAUCUACUCGCUUAAAGUUCUGAAUAUAAUCCCUCAACUUCACCAUCUUCGAGGGAGGGAAAAACUUUACAUUGAAUGUCUUGGUGAGGUCCUCCCAAGAAGUGAUUGAUUCUCUUGGUAGCUCAGCCAACCACUUUGUUGCUUCCCCCAUUAGAGAAAAGGGAAACAAACGAAGUUGGACCGACUCUUGUGUGAUGUUCUCGAAGACAAAUGGACCACAAAAGUCUACAAAGUUUCGGAUGUGCUCAUGGGGAUCCUCAUGAUCCAGCUCUCUAAAUAAACCCUUCAUUUGCAGCAGUUGCAACAUAGUGCUCGUCACCUGAAAUAUCGCAUUGCCCACAACCCGGGGCAAUCCAAUAGCACCCACACUUCCCAAUAGAUCAUCAUUGACAUUGUGCAAGUUACUGAUGUCAUCAUUAUGUCCAAGUUGGCUAGCAUUACUCCCGUUAAUGCUCAUUUCGUCACAAGUUUAAGAGCAGCCAACAAUAAACAAAAGUAAAAUAAGUUGAUUCAACUAUAAACAAGAUUAGAUCACAACUAAACUUCACUAAAAGAAUUUUAAACACCACUCCCCAGAAGCGGUGCCAUUUCUUAUAACGCUCAACUACACUUCAUCUAAUUCUAAGUGUAGGCGAUCUCAAUCUAGUAUAAACUCAACAAAGAGUUGGGGUCGAUCCCACACGGAGUGAUACGGUAGAGAAUUCAAUAAUGAAGUAAAGAAAGUGUUCUAAUCAGUUGUAGAAGUAGACAUUAUCGAAACAAUUAAAGUAAAUUGCAAGGGUUGAGAACUAGUGUCAAAUGGGAGGAUUAGAUUGAGCAAUUAACAACUACGAAAAUAGGGGAGUAAUCAAGUAGAGAGGGAUCCUUGGGGAUGUGAUCGAUUAAAUGCCAAUUUCGCUAUACGGGUGAUUAUCAUUUACUAAAAGACGUUGAAUCUUGGUGGGUAGGAUAAAAUUUAGGUGCAACAUCCAUCUCUCGAUCAACUACCACGAUUCAAGGGAGCUCUCUCGUAGCUCGAUAAGCAUAACACUAAGAACAACCCAAAACCUCAAUCAAUCUACUCUCUCGAGCUAGAUUGGUAGGAUCGAAUUCAAAUUCACUUUUUUAAGCUGAAUAAAAAAUAGCCCAAUAACUACAAUCAUCAAUUGAUAGUUUUAAUUUGAAACCUCUUUCUCAAGCAAGCAUCGAAUACUAAACUCGAAUUGUUUUUGCAAUUACAAUUCAUUAAUUAAAACUCAGAUAUCAAUUGAACCCACUUCAAAUCAAUAAUUAAAUCAGUAAAUACUAACAUCCAUAAGCUAAUUGAGACAAAUUAAUCAUAUAAUCACACCCCAGUAAUGGGGGGUUUUAGCCAAACAUUGUAAAAAGCACAAAAAUGUUACCAACUAAGUCAUGUAUCAGCUUGGUAACAAACUGCAGGUCUUCACAAUGCUCAAAAAUAGUUCAAAAUCAAAAUCCAACUAUAAAAUCCUACUCAAAAACUCCAAGAGCAGUGUUAGGGACAAAAAACCUAAUGUAAGAAUUUUCAAACACUCAGAAAGUUUGCUCAAAAUUUUGGGACUCUGAAACUCUUUUAAAAAAUCGCAUUUAUAGUUUCCCAGAUUUUUGUCUUUAGAUUCGUUCAGCGAAAUUAGUUGAGCAUUGCCAAUCCAGUUGGCGAUGCACAAAAUGUCCAUGUUCAACGCCUUUUUGACUUGAUUCUUCACCAUUUCUCUUUUGUAACUUUAGGUGAUCAGGAUCUCCAUCGCCGAUCUAGUCGACGCUUCACCGAAACUCCAUUUCCAUCACCGAGUUGGCUUUUUCCCAGGGCUGGCCUGCUGUAACUUUCGUCGAGCUGAACUACUACUCGACGAGUCGCCGAGUGGUCUUGGCGAUCGUCAGCCUUUCUUGUCUUCAGCUUUUUCAGCAUUUCCAUUCCUUUUUGCCCGGUAAUGUCCAUGUCUUGCUCUUUUGCCUUCAUAACUAUAAAUUAGCAUUUAAACAUCAGUUUAGAGAAUAAAAUAAGCAUUGAGGAAACUAAAACUAUGAAUAUUAAUCCCUAAAUGAGUCGAAAUCCAGACUCAUCAAAGAUCCACUACCAUUUCCUCCUUGAGGCUUAGGGUUAGACACCCUAUCUUUGUUGAACUUAGAAAGAGCAUUGGAGGAACCUUGGCUGGAAAACCUUUGUCGAAACAUAGAACAACAAUGCCUAUCGGACCUUGAAUGUGAGAAGUUGUCAUCACCGAUCUUAGACGUCUUUGCCUCCCUAGAACGUUCCUUAAGUUUCUCAUUUUUUAUUUGUUGAGCAUGAAUCAUGAGACGAGAAAUAUUCAUAUCAUUGAUAAGCAUAGUGGUACGGCAUUCCUUAACUACCAUCUCGGACACACCCAAAACAAACUUAAUCAUCCUUGCCCUAGGAUCGGCAAUCAUAGUAGGAGCAUAUCUAGACAAUUGUGUGAACUUCAAAGCAUAUUCCUUCAUACUCAUAUUUCCUUGAUAGAUGUUGAUGAAUUCAAGCAUUUUUGCCUCCCUCAUUUCAAGGGGAUAGAACCUAUCAAGGAAAGCAACCUUAAACUUUUCCCAAUCAAGAGGACCCGUAUCAACUGCCCUUUCUUCCUUCCAUUGGUUGAACCAAACUUAAGCAACACCCUUAAGUUGUUAAGCGGCCAAUUUCGCCUUUUCCACUGGUGUCACUCCCAUGAUCAUUAACACCUUAUAUACUUCAUCAAUAAACUCUUGAGGAUCUUCCUCAACCUUGGACCCAUGAAAAUCUGGGGGAUUCAUUCUAGUAAAGUCCCUCACUCUAGAUGUCGUCAUACCCACAUUUGGGUUCAGUGGGGCCACAACCUCCCUAUUGGAUUGAGACAUCAUGGCUUGAGCCAACACUUGGAAAAUCAGACCUAAACUCCGCAUUAGUCACUUGCUCGGCCAAAGGGUCGACUGAAACUUGAGGAUCUUAAGGAGCUUCUCAUUCCACAUUCUCAUUCACAUUCCGCCUAACGUAAACUCUUAGAGGGGCUAUAUCCUAAAAAGCACCGAAUAGGGAUUAGGAGAAAGACAUAUAGAGUUACACUCUAUCGCAUGACUUUAGAGUAACGAAAGAAGUUGAGUUUCCUAAUAAUCUUAUAGUCUCUCAUUCAUAAAUGUGGCGCGCUUCACACUCAUGAACAAGACUCUACUCGAUGUGACUUAUGAGACUUCCUAUGGUCUUUCUAAACCUUGUGCUCUGAUUACCAAGUUUGUCUAGACCCAAGGUGGCCCCUAGGCAUAACAUGGGUAUAAGACCCGAAAGGCCCCACACAAGCCACGUAGUGUUCAUCAUACAAGAAAAUAGAAUAAAGAGAUCAAAAGACAGUUUCAACAUAUAAGAGUUUUAUAGAGAAAAGCAAAAAUCUAAACAUCAUCUCAAAACCAUCUAGUACAUGAGUAUAUCGGGGUAUAGCCUGUACAUCAAGUUCCAAAAUUGAAAGUAAAGACAAAAGGGGAAUCAAGCUCGGUCCUCAGAAUAUGAGGACUCACCAAACUUAAAUCUUUUAUAUGAGAAAUGUGAAUCUGUAAGGUCGGUCCCUACAUUUGGGGAAAUGUAGGCAAGAGUAUAUAUGAAUCAGUACAAAAUAUGUACCAAGUAUGAUAGUCAAGCAUAAAGUAUUAGAAAACAUGAAAAAAGGGACAUUUUCAUAAAGUGCAAUGACCAAGGUAAAUCAUGAAUGUAAAAGAAUGAGAGGACAUAAGUUACAAAACAUGGUCAAUGCAAAUAGAUAUCAUCUUAAGUCGCAUGUGAGAUACUUCUUGAAGUAACCUUAGCUCAUCAUUGUGGGAGAUUUACCUUUAACCAACAUCUAAAACUAUGUGAGAUAUCAACACGGAAUUUGGUGUCUACCCUACACCUAAAAGGAGUGUACUACUAGCCAAUUUAAGACCAAGAACUUCUAGCUUAUGUGGAUCCACUAGCUAAUAUCUAUCUAAGACAAACAUCCUAUGGGGGCACAUAGAUAUGGGAUAAAGAUUUUGCUUACAGAAACUCGGCCUCUACUAACGGGAGAGAUCCUAUCCAAUAUCCUCUCAGUGCUAAGUGUAAAACCCACGGAAUAGUCAUUUUCUUAACUAGUCUUUACUAUCCAUGGAAGGGCAUGUCAUAUUACCAAUCCAAGCUAAGUCAUAUGUCAUCCAUGGAAAGGUACAAUAAAGUAACCAAUCCAAGCUAGGUUUCAUUAGAAUAUCUCUUUAUCUUUGAUUCAUUUUAGGUAAGAAGAUCUUUCAACCUUAGAAUUCUUAAUGUGAGAAAACCUUUCACAUUCAUGCAUGAGAUAGUUAUGUGAGCAAUCCUUUCACAACAAUUAACCACAACAACAACAUAUUGGCUUUUGCUCGCAAAGCAAUCUACAUCAUAUCUCAUCAAUUCCAUAAGAACAUACAUAAUUCAAUAAUUCACCUUUCAUAGUUCAAGACUCACUUUCAAUCAUCAAUCUCUAGAAAACAUGGGUUAAGCAUGGGUUCAUGGGAUUCAUCUUAAAAUCAUAAGAUUAUAUCCAUUCAUGCAUAAGAGUUCAUAAAUCGAUCAAAUAAAUCAACAUUUAUAAGAACCCAUGACAUAGAGGAAAAAUUCCUAACUCAAUUGUGGAUUUCUAACUUUAUAAAUUGGAGAAUUAAGGAACUCCGUGGAGGAAAGGGCUCCAUGGAUGAAAACUAUCAUACUUUGAUGCCAAAAGCUUGCAAUCAAUAAAAUGAAACAAAAUCCACUACAACAUUUUAGGCUUUUAGCCUCCCCAGCAAACUGUGGCCAAAACUAUCAAAAAGUGUUGCUUUUAUCAUAGGCCAUACUUUUUGACUUUAGACAAUUCUUUUGCAGGGUUGGACUAAAGAAGCAUAACCUUUGACUUUAGGUUACGCUUUUAAGUGUUGUCUAAUCUGCUACGCUUUAAAAGCAUGGCCAAUAAGGUACAUUAGCCACUCUUUGCAAUACUUCAUAUAGCUACACUUCAAUUUCAUACGACCACACUUUUUAAGAGUGACCUUUUCUUAUUUACUGGCCACAUUUUUGAAGUGUAGCAUUUUAUAGAUUUGUACAACAAUAGUUUAAAGUGUAGCAUUUUCUAAUGUACGUACGACAAUUUAUAUAAUUAAUAAGCUACACAAUGGACGUGCCUAUGGCUACACUUUUAAAGUGAGGCAGUGUUGGCUAUAAAUUAUUUAUAUGCCACAAUUUCUUCUUGAGAAAUUAUUUUUGGGUAUAUUCACUGAUCACAUUAUUCAUAAUUUAUAUAUAAUCUCAGCUUUUAUUUAACUAAUACAGUACAUAAUUCCAAUGGACUGAUUUGCAAUAACGUCAAAAAAUAAUGCCUUGUACUACACAUACAUAAAAAACAAUAUUUUAAAGAUGUGUAAUUUCAAUGAAAUCCACAAAAUCAAAUGUAUUCAAACUUAAGUAUAUACUUCAAAAACUCUUUGAUCAGUAUUGCCAUUCAAAUUCAAUCACCCGCAUUUCCCUACACAUUAAAAAAGAAAUUAAAAAUUAGAGAGAAUCCUUGUUAAACAAAUUGAAUGUAAUCAGAUUUCAUGUUCAUAUGUAAUAGAUAUCAGUGACAAAACAUUAAAAAGAAACCAUGUUCUAACAGAAAAAUGUUAGAAUCAUCUGAUGAACCAUUGUAGAAACAAAGCCAGCGAUGAUAGAAUCAAUGCUCACAAGGAAGAUCAAGCUAAAAAAAUCAAAGACCAAAGAGUUGAUAAGGAUAUGAUGGAUGAGUUGCAACCUGCCUCAAGAAGGAAGACAAUCAAAACCAAACAACCUCAGAAAUCACGCAACAACAUGUUACUGGCAGCAACAUGUAACUGGCAGCAACAAGGAAGGCAAAAUGCAAGGUCAUCUGAUGAACCAUUAUAGAAACAAAGCCAAUGAUAAUAUAAUCAAUGCUCAAAAGGAAGAACAAGCUAAAAAAGUCAAAGACCAAAGAGUUGAUAAGGAUAUGAUGGAUGGCAUUCAACAUGUAUCGAGAAGGAAGACAAUCAAAACCAAACAACCUCAGAAAUCACGCAACAACAUGUUACUGGCAGCAACAUGUAACUGGCAGCAACAAGGAAGGCAAAAUGCAAGGUCAUCUGAUGAACCAUUAUAGAAACAAAGCCAAUGAUAAUAUAAUCAAUGCUCAAAAGGAAGAACAAGCUAAAAAAGUCAAAGACCAAAGAGUUGAUAAGGAUAUGAUGGAUGAGUUGCAACCUGCCUCAAGAAGGAAGACAAUCAAAACCAAACAACCUCAGAAAUCACGCAACAACAUGUUACUGGCAGCAACAUGUAACUGGCAGCAACAAGGAAGGCAAAAUGCAAGGUCAUCUGAUGAACCAUUAUAGAAACAAAGCCAAUGAUAAUAUAAUCAAUGCUCAAAAGGAAGAACAAGCUAAAAAAAUCAAAGACCAAAGAGUUGAUAAGGAUAUGAUGGAUGGCAUUCAACAUGUAUCGAGAAGGAAGACAAUCAAAACCAAACAACCUCAGAAACCAGGCAGAAACAUUUUACUGGCAGCAACAAGGAAAACAAAAUGCAAGGUCAUCUAAUGAACCAUUGUAGAAACAAAGCCAGCGAUAAUACAAUCAGUUCUCAAAAGGAAGAACAACCUAAAAAAAUCAAAGACCAAAGAGUUGAUAAGGAUAUGAUGGAUGAGUUGCAACCUGCCUCAAGAAGGAAGACAAUCAAAACCAAACAACCUCAGAAAUCACGCAACAACAUGUUACUGGCAGCAACAUGUAACUGGCAGCAACAAGGAAGGCAAAAUGCAAGGUCAUCUGAUGAACCAUUAUAGAAACAAAGCCAAUGAUAAUAUAAUCAAUGCUCAAAAGGAAGAACAAGCUAAAAAAGUCAAAGACCAAAGAGUUGAUAAGGAUAUGAUGGAUGACUUUCAACCUAUCUCUAGAAGAAAGACAAUCAAAACCAAACAACCUCAAAAAUCACGAAGCAACAUGUAACUGGAAGCAACAAGGAAGGCAAUACUGGUGUCUCCUUUUACAAAAGAAAAUGAGUGAAUCAUCAGAAAAUUGAGCACAAGUGUAACUGGCUCUAUUUAUGCAUACACCUUAGUCUCAUUAACUCAAUCAACUUCGGGAAAUAAUUAGUCAACUUGCCUACUAUCAUAGAGGAAAAAAAGGACUUCCAAAGAAACAGAGAAGGUUGAUUAGCCAAUUAUCACAGAUUUACAAUCCUAUAAUAUAGUCUUCAAGACACUAAUUAGCUAACAUAUUGUUCACAAAAAUAAACAUGUAUUAAACUUGUUUUAACUCAUAAUAGAAAGACAUUUAAGUUUCUUGUGAGUGUGAAACAGAAAAUGCCUUUUGAAGAACUGAAUCAUGAGUUGACCUAGAAGAAUGUGGAAGAUUUUGGCCUCUUAUAGCUUGUGCACUACUCGCAUCAUCAGGUUAAGCAAGGUUAGAUCCGACACCCCUGGUAUAUCUUGAACAUUCAAUCCAGGGUUGUUUUACAGCAAUUGACUAAAUAAAUGUCACAUUUCUUCUCUCAUUUCAUUCAUUUCUUCUUUUACAGAAGUGAUUUCAUUGGCAUGCUUUUAUUUUAGCUUGUUAGUUUCCUCAUCUUUCUUUAAAGAAAUUUUUAUCACUGAUCUACCAUAGCACCUAAGUCGACCAGGCUGCUCCUUUCCAAACACUGCCCUAAACGCAUCAUUAGUUGUUUCCCCGAAAUUUUGGCGAUUCUGAAGUUCAACCUAUUGAAUAAAAUUGACAUCCAUAUUAAAUAUAAGUACUACUUUAUGUCCACCUAAAAUGAGUUUAUGAUUCAUUAAGUUAACUUUAAUUGACAUCCCUUCCGAGCAAACUGUCCAGCGACUCAAGCAUUUUAAAAUAAAAUUAUCACCCUCUACCAACAAAUCAAUAGUCUUGUGAUAGAGAUCAAGAACUAAAAAGAUCUAACAAAUUUUCUUAGCAAAUAAUUCAGAGACAUCGACGAAGAACUGAUUUAUCACUGCAUGUGCAUGACAUUGGUAAAAGAUGCAGCAAGUAAUACAUGGAGAAAUAAACCAGCCUUUUUUCAAGGAAAUUCAUCAGACUGCAUUUAACUUUGUGUUGGCAAAGGAUAACAGGGAACUUUACUUCCAGUUAGCCAAUAAUUUUUUAUGUGCCAAUCCAAUUCAGAAAGUGUCAACCACCAGAUCCUUUAUUGUGCAGUAGCAACUGACCUUUGGUGCAUGUUCUUACUAUUGUUAGACUGAACUGGGCUAUGCCAUUCACUGUUCGAGAAGCCUACGUGAGCUGCAAUUCAAAGAAAGUUGAUAAAAACACCAAAAAAUAGCAUCCUCUCACGAAAAUAGUCCAUCAACUUGUUCAAAUAUCCUAAAUUUUGUAGCUCAUGUUACUUUCCUUUACUUAAUUAUAUAAUUGGUGUCCAUUCAGUAAACUAACAAAUUUACACUGCUUAGGUAGAAUGAAUGCUAAAAAUUUGUUCAAAUUUCCAUAAAUUUUCACUUCAUGAUACUUACCUCUACCUAGUUGUCACUCCCCAAGCCUACACCCUGGGUGGGACUGGCACUCGAGAACCAUUAUUGGCCUCAAGCGGACCCUUGGCCUGGCUUAACUCUUAGCAGAAGACUUACCCAUGAUAAAAUUCUUUAAAAAGUAAAUUGAACUGCUCAAUAGAUAACUUAGAAUGUAUUAAAUAACAGUCGACUUAGACAAGGUGGCAACUCAAAGUUCAACAUAAACCAAUAAUAAGAUAAUGACAAAUGAACUAACUAACUGUCUAUGAAGCCUCUAAUAACUGAGAUGGAUUUCGGGACAAGACCCCUCGAUCAUCCUAACAGCUAAAAACUACUAAACCAAUAUAAAUAGGGAUCCUCUAGAAAGCAAAGAGGCUCACCACAAGACUGUGAAUGCUCAACUAGAUCAAUGAAGCGCUCGAUGCUGAUCCUAGUUACUAGUAUCUACAUCAUAAAAAUGAUACAAGUCAAAUGGUGCCAGUACAUUAAAUGUAUGAGCAUGCGAGGGGAACUCUAAAACAAGACAUAAGCUUGAAAGGAACUGAAAGAACAUACUUGGGCUCAACUCAACUCAACUUAAUAUAAAGAAAAACUUUUCAAACCUGGAUAACAACUCUGUGUAUUUAGAAAUGUAAUAGUAACUCUGAAUGUAUGCAAAGAUACAAUUUAAACUCUGAAUGUAUAUAAAAAUACAAUUAACUCUGCGUAUAUAAGAAUACAAAAUACUGUUGUGGGAGUUUCUCUAAUCGACAACCAUCACUUAAGAGUUACUGUGAUGAUACAACGUUUUACCUCACGCUACUAGGGCCGUCCUAUACCUUGCCAUGGGUAUAGAACCUGACUACUAAGUGGAUCCACUAUUCUAUGCUAAAAAGCACUAAGGAAUCAUCUAAAAAGUAUGACCCUUUUUUCUACCCAUGGUGGCUACAUGGUUUAUGGGGGUUGGGAGUUGUCUGAACUCUCCCUCAUAUCGGUGCUCAAUACUACUCCCAAAAUAUGAUACUAGCUCUUAUGUUUAAAAAACAUAAACUCUGUGGUUUGAGAUAAUUACUCAAAAACUAGCCUGAAGGCUCUCUUGGAAAUCAGUGUUUCCUCUCUUGCUUAAUUGUGAAAGCAUUUACUCUUUAUUGAAAACUAGCUCAAAAGCGCUUUUGGAAAUAUCAAUUUCCUUUCUUGUUUAAAUGUGAAAACAUUUUACUCUUUGGGAAUACAUAGUCCCGAUAUACUCUUUUGAAGAAAUGAACUUCAAUCUUUACUCUUUCUCAACUCAAAACUCAGGUCUUAAAACAAAGUUAAAACAUUUGUAAAAGAGUUUUGGAAGACUCUAUGAACUUCUCUUGACUUGGCUCUUAACUUUCCUUGAAUUUAAAUUUAUGGAUUCAAGGAUUGUGAUUUGUGAUAGGAAAGAUCUCAUGAUGUUUAGGAGUGUUUUUAGACAGUUAAACAUGAGAAACAAUCAAGAAACCACUAUGUGAAAGCAAGUCCGUGACAUGGAGAUGCAUUUAUAUAUUUGGUCGCAAAAUAAAUUUUGAGGCAGAAUGGUUCGUGACCACUCCGUGACACGGAGAACAAUUUUGGGAAAAGGUGGGGCAGGUUCGCGACGCGGACGAGGGCACCAGAAUUUCCCGACUAUUUCCUUCUUCAUUUUCUAACCCCAAUUCACCUAAACUUGGUUCUUUUUCUCAAAUUCUCUUUAGAUUCAGAUACCCAUUAUAUGUACAAAAGAAUCUAACUCAAAACAACUCUAACAAUCGACCUUAAACUCUCAAGAACUCCUAAAUCUCAUCCCAAAUUCAAGAACGAAAGCAAUUCAAGAACACAACUCAAGAAUAUCAAAGUCUCAAUCUUUUAGGAUGAAAAUCAUACUGAAAUAAACAUGUUUGGCGCAUGGUUGAACGAACCCAACUCUAUGUGAACUCACAUACCUUGUAGGAUUGAAUCCUUGGCGAAAUCCGCACUCAAUUCCUCAAGAAAUCGAUGAAUCCUUGCUUUUUCUCCUCUUCUUUUCUCUUCUCUCAAAACCCUAACUCUUUUUUUAUGAAGCUUAAACUGAACCAAAUCAGUUUAGACCCCAACUUAAAUACCAAAAACGAAAUUAAGUAAUUGGGUAGGGAAAAGACCAUAAUACCCUUCUAAAAUCCAGUUUUGACUUUCCUUAUCUAGACAGCCCAACUUCAAAUGGGCAUAUAUCUCUCAUACGAACUCUAAACUGAGCAAACUCGGUGGAGUUGGAAAUAUAAUUCAAAGAUCGUUCCUACGGUAUCUUGUAGUACACCUAAAUCAUCCUGAGCUAAGAGUUAUGGUCGUUUGAAGUUGACCCAAAACUCAUAUAUAACUUAACUUUGUCAAACUUUCCAAAUUUGAUUAUUUCCAAAAACGGUUUCUUUCUAAUUCCAAUUCUUUCUAGUAGCGGAGUGUUACAAUAGCUCCCCCUUGGGGACAUUCAUCCCCGAAUGAGAUUAAUCUUAGCAGGCUAAGGGUGUAACAUCUAACAUCUAGCUCAAACACCCAACAAGGAAAAUGUAAAUAUAACAAGCCAAUUUAAAAUAAAUGCCAAGAAAAGGAUUAGUACUUUAAUUUGGAAAUCCUACGGAUUCGAAGAGAUUUGGGUAUCUCUUCUACAUAUCUUCCUCAGCUUCCCAAGUAGCUUCCUCAACAAAUUGAUUUCUCCAAAAAAGUUUGACUAAUGCUACUUCCUUAGUCCUCAACUUGCGAACCUAGCGGUCUAUAAUCUGAAUAGGAAUCUCCUCAUAAGACAAGUUGUCCUUAAUACCAAUAUCAUCAGUUGGUAUGAUCAAUGAAGGAUCGCAUAUACACUUUUUAAGCAUAGAAAUAUGGAAUACCGGAUGAACCGCUGCUAACUCUUGUGGUAGCUCUAACUAAUAAGAUACGUUGCCGAUAUUCUAUAAGGACCAAUAUACUGGGGAUUAAGCUUCCCCUUCUUACCAAAUCUCAUAACACCCUUCAUGGGUGAAACUUUAAAGUAAACCCAAUCAUCUACUUCAAACUCUAAGUCUCUUCUCCUAACAUUUGUGUAGGAUUUCUAACGACUCUACGCUAUUUUCAACCUUUCUUGAAUCACGAUACAUCUUUGUGGAACCUAGAUGGAUUAAAUAUCUGGAGCUAUGAGCUUCCUCCAUAAUCCUUUCUUGAAGUUCAUCCACCCUUGGUACACACAAUCUACCUUGGUACACCCUGAGCCUAUACCCUGGGCGGGACUGGCACUCGAGAACGAUUGUUGGCCCCAAGCAGACCCUUGUCCUGGCUUAACUCUUAGCGAAAGACUUACUCAUGAUAAAAUACUUUAUAAAGUAAACUGAACUGCUCAAUAGAUAACUUAGAAUGUAUUAAAUAACAUUCGACUUAGCCAAGGUAGCAACUCAAAGUUCAACAUAAGCCAAUAAUAAUAUAAUAACAAAUGAACUAACUAUCUGUCUAUAAAGCCUCUAAUAACUGAGAUGGAUGUCGGGAUAAGACCCCCCGAUCAUCCUAACAACUAAAAACUACUAAUGCAAUAUAAAUAGGGAUCCUCCGGAAAGCAAGUAGGCUCACCACAAGACUCUGAAUACUCAACUGGAUCAAUGAAGUGUUAGAUGUUGAUCCUAGUUAACUGUAUUUGCAUCAUAAAAAUGAUGCAGGCCAAAUGGCGUCAGUACAUUGAAUGUACGAGCAUGCGAGGGGAAUUCUAAAACAAGACAUAAGCUUGAAAGAAACUUAAUGAACAUACAUUGGCUCAACUUAACUCAACUUAACUCAUUUCAAUAUAAAGCAACAAAAUAAAUGCAAUAUAAAGAAAAACUUUUAAAACCUAGAUAAGAACUCUGUGUAUUUAGAAAUACAAUAGUAACUAUGAAUGUAUGCAAAGAUACAAUAUAAACUCUGAAGGUAUACAAAAAUACAAUAAACUUUGUGUAUAUAAGAAUACAAAAUACUGUUGUGGGAGUUUCUUUACCCGACAACCAUCACUUAAGAGCUAUUGUGAUGAUACAGUUUUUUGCCUCACGCUGCCAGGGCCGUCCUAUACCUUGCCAAGGGUAUAAACCUGACUACUAAGUGGAUCCACUAGUCUAUGCUAAAAGGCACUAAGGAAUCAUCUAAAAAGUAUGACCCUUUUACUACCCAUGGUGGCUACAUGUUUUAUGGGGGCUGGGAGUUGUCUGAACUCUCUCUUAUAUCGGUGCUCAAUACUACUCCCAAAAUAUGAUACUAGCUCUUAUGUUUAAAAACAUAACUUUGUGGUUUGAGAUAAUUACUCAAAAAGUAGCCCGAAGUCUCUCUUGGAAAUCAGUGUUUCCUCUCUUGCUUAAUUGUAAAAGCAUUUACUCGUUACUGAAAACUAGCUCAAAUGAUCUUUUGGAAAUCUCAGUUUCAUUUCUUGUUUAAAUGUGAAAAAACAUUUUACUCUUUUGGAAUACAUAGUCCCGAUAUACUCUUUUGAAGAAAUGAACUUCAAUAUUUACUCUUUACUCAACUCAAAACUCAGGUCUUAAAACAAAGUUAAAACAUUUGUAAGUCUUUUGGAAGACUCUAUGAACUUCUCUUGACUUGGCUCUUAACUUUCCUUAAAUUUGAAUUUAUGAAUACAAGGAUUGUGAUUUGUGAUAGGAAAGGUCUCAUGAUGUUUAGGAGUGUUUUUAGAUAGUUAAACAUGAGAAACGAUCAAGAAAUCGUUGUCUGGAAGCAAGUCCCCGACGCGGAGAUGCAUUUAAAUAUUUGGUCGCGAAAUUUUUUUUGAGGCAAAACGGUCUGUGACCAAUCCGCGACACGAAGAAGAAUUCUGGGAAAAGGUGGGGCAGGUUCACAACGUGGACUGGGGCACCAGAUUUGCCUAACUUUUUCCUUCUUCAUUUUCUAACCCCAAUUUGCCUUAACUCAGUUCUUUUUAUCAAAUUCUCUUUAGAUUCAUAUACCCAGUAUAUGUACACAAGAAUCUAAAUCAUAACAACUUUAACAAUUGACCUUAAACUCGCAAGAACUCCUCAAUCUCAUCCCAAAUUCAAGAAUGAAAGCAACUCAAGAAUACAACUCAAGAACAUCAAAGUCUCAAUCUUUAAGGAUGAAAAUCAUACUGAAAUAAACAUGUUUGGCGCGUGGGUGAACGAACCCAAUGCUAUGUGAACUCAAAUACCUUGUAGGAUUGAAUCCUUGGUGAAAUCCGCACUCAAUUCCUCAAGAAAUCGACGAAUCCUUGCUUUUUCUCCUCUUCUCCUCUUCUUUUCUCUUCUCUCAAAACGGCUAACUCUUUUUGAUGAAGCGUAAACUGAAACAAAUCAGUGUAGACCCCAACUUAAUUAACAAAAAUGAAAUUAAAUAAUUGGGUAGGGAAAAAACCAUAAUACCCUUCUAUAAUCUUGUUUUUACUUUCCUUAUCUAGACAUCACAACUUCAAAUGGGCAUAUCUCCCUCAUAUGAACUCGAAACUGAGCAAACUCGGCGGCGUUGGAAAGAUAAUUCAAAUAUAUUUCCUACUGUAUGUUGUAGCAUACCUAACUCAUCCUGAGCUAGGAGUUGUGGUCAUUUGAAGUUGACCCAAAAUGCAUAUAUAACUUAACUUUGUCAAACUUUCCAAAUUUGAUUAUUUCCAAAACAGUUUCUUUCUAAUUCCAAGUAUUUCUAGUAGCGGGGUGGUACACUAACUAAUUAUUAAUACCAAGUAAUUUAAAUUUACACAAGCAUAUACAAGAAAAUUACUUUGUAACGUCUACUUAUCUGUACGGUCUCUCCUUCUCCAAAAAGAAAAGAAGCCCUUAUCUCUAAAUUCCCUCUUGAUUAUUGCUUUAACUAUAUGAAUCAUACAGGUUUUAAGUAUGAGAAAACCAUGAUAUAGUGACAAAUGCUAUUCUCGAAAAGAGUUGGAUGGACAAUAAGCUGAAACAAAUAUUUUCAACAUUAAUUAUGAACAAUAAAUAGAAACAAAAUGUUCUUAACAAUAACUUCAUAUAUGAAAGCAAAUUAAAAAGAUUCAUCCCAACGUAUCGAGAUAAUCAUCAGUAUGAGCUUAGGAAUGGUAAAAUAUGGGAGUGUGAGUAAUGCAACAUAGUGAGCGAACAGUUCUUCAUCACGAGAUUACAAAUAAAUUUAUAGCAAACAUGGGGAUCUAUAACUUACGAGGGGAAAAAGAGAGACAUAAGGUCACUCGUUAUCAAACUAUAAAAGAAAAAGAAAAAAUGAGGGACAUAAGGUCACUACUAAUACUAGACUGGAGUUGAAGCGGGUGGGGGUUAAUUAGCUACACUUUUAACAGAACAUUACCAUACCAUUCCUUGGACUGAGGACACUACUUUAAAUAGACAUAAGUCUUAAGAGAACUAUUAGCGACAUGGAUAAGUGUUUAAAGCUAGACUGCUAUAAUGAAAGAGUAGAGAGGAUGAAAAUUAUCAAACACAAUGUUUUGGAGAGCGAGAAGCGAAAAAAAGAGACAUGGGCUCGCUUCACCAAAGCGAGAAGCAUGUAGCGAAGCGCAUGCUUUUUUCAACUAAAGCGCUAUUUAGUACAAAAACAAAAAUAUCAAAUAUGCAUAGAUAAAUAACCAAGAACACAAUAUAAAUAAUAUAUUUAGCAAAUCUUUCAAUUCUUAAAUAGAAAUGUAAAUAUAAUUUACUACCAGAAAAACAAAACAGUGAAAAUAGAGACAAAAAACAUUAUAAAAUAGAGGGAAAAUUGUAGAAUAUGGACCAAAAACAGAGCAUAACAGAGAAAGUUAUACAAAGCAGAGAAAAAAUUGCAAAACUGAAAGAAAAAAACAGAGAAGAUUAUAUUGCAAAUCAGAAAGAAAAAAAUAGAACAAGGGAAACUGCAGACUGCAAGUUGAAAAAAAAAUUGUAGCCAGAGAAACAGAAAAAUAAAGAAGAGAUGAAAAACUUAACUUGUAGUCACUUGAAAGAGUGUCACAGCAAUAGACUAGUUACAGUAAACCUCGCUUAAUGAGAAAAGCGAACUUUUUCUCGCUUUUACUGAAGUCUCACUUCUCACUUCUGGGACUGAAGCGCUCGCUCUUUUACCACAGCUUCGCUUCACUGCAAAAAAGUGAUACAACUUCGCUUCGCCUUGCUUCUCGCUUUAAGCGAAAAAGCUCUCGCUUUUAAUAACACUAAUCAAACAAAGACACCACCCGGAAUUACCAAUUCAUAGGUACUGACCUCACAAUCAUAGAUGGCAUGCAACAUGAUAUGUACCCUUAGCUACUUCUAGAUUAAGGAAAGCAUAUGUUCGGGCUUUCUUCCCACUUGUCCCCUGCAUACUAUAUUGAGAAUUAGGGUAAUUGAGAAAUAUUAAAUUGUAGCAUAUCUCGUCCUUCAUUAUUAUACACUAUAGUGUCUAUCAUCUUCCAUGUGUCCUUACAUAAUAGUAUAACUCAUCCUCGGUUUGCUCUCCAUAUGAUAGAUCAAAUAUCACUUAAAAUUUCCAUAGCAAAUAAGACUGGUUAUUAAAUAUAAAAUUCUAGACAUAGGCUGUCAGAAGAGGAGGAUAAGGAAACUAAGAGGAAGAUCAUAUACAAUGGCUUGGAUCUUAAGAAACAAGAGUAUAACUAUAAGAGAAAAAGUAAGCAGAAACAUCACAUCCUACCUCUAUUUUCAAGGUAUAACAGCGUCGUACGCAAAUCAUCACAUGUCAUAGCAAGAGAUACUAAAGCUUCACCUAGCAAGGACACUCCAAUAUAUAUAAUAUGUAAUGUUUCCUUUCCUAUUUUUCCUGUCUCACAAGUAUUUUUGCAAGUGUACACAUUUUUGACAACAAUGUUAGACACUCUGGUACUGCUGUCCAGUUUUAUAAAAUUCUUUCGGCAAACCAAGAAUCCAUUAUUACCAGACAAUAUUGCAAUCAUUUUUCUAGUCUUCGGUAAACAACGCCUACUAUCUUAGUGACUUAGUCUUGAUUGUUAUGUUCUCCUUUUUUCUUACCGAUAGAAUCUCUUCUAGUCAAUCUAAGAAGUUUGUAGCUUCAAAAACUAAUAAAGGCGAAGCAACAAAAACAUAAUGCUUAAAAAAAUUACAUGAAACCUACAUUAUCAUGGACGAUUUUAGCCCUAAUCAGCUUAUCAGUCUAAUAAAAAAGAAAUUCUCAUACUUAUUUAGUGAUGAAUGCAUUGGGCAAAGAAUCAACUGAUGUGGGUAAUAGAACUACAAGCUAGACACCCAAAAAUAAAAUAAAAAAUCGUAUCAACAAACACAAGAAUAUCAAAAUCCUAAAGCUAAAUAUGUAACCACACGCAAGCAAUAAACCCAGAUGCCAUAAAUUUUGACUUUUAAAGAUAGAAAUAUUUACCUGAUAAACUCUAUUCCAAAAAAAUCCUUUAAAUGUGAUGAAGCUUUAAGAAAUCAUCUUCUAAAUUGAAGCAUCUUGUUCUGUCAUUGGUGAAAAAUUAGAAAAUCAUCAGGAAUUUUCGUAUGUCAAAGAUGAAGAAUGAAAUUUUGAAACCAUUCUUUAAUUUGCUUUGAGAAAAAUCUGUACAGAAAUACCUUUUAAUUUUGAAACCACUCUUCAAUUCUUCAAUUUGCUCGGUGAAAAAUUUCAGAUUUGGAGCUAAGGCGUUCUUCUUCUUCAAGAAAUUGGGAUUUUUUUUCUAAUUUGGGCAAAGCUUUAC